This 88489-nucleotide long non-coding RNA is filed under the name Malus domestica (apple). Its description in RNAcentral is "long non-coding RNA (MDOM_LNC004302)". The record is from RNAcentral. Lineage: Eukaryota; Viridiplantae; Streptophyta; Magnoliopsida; Rosales; Rosaceae.
CACCACCAUCUUGAUAGUUAAACAAUUUCACUGUAAAAGCUAUUAAACUUAGCAGGAAAAAAAAUUUAAACUUUAUCUAACAUUUGAAUCUACAAUUUUCAAUUAGCAACUCUUGUCACAAAUGUUUAUUAGUGGGGUACGUUCUAAGAUAUUGUUAUUUGCUAAUUGUCGAGGAUUAUUUGGGAGUUAAAUCUCACAAGAAGGCGUAAAGAUCACAUUAGAAUUAGAUAUUUUACUAGGAAGCUAAAGAUCACAUUAGAACCACCCGCAGGAAUACAAAAAAACGACAUACCUUAUAGUCCAGUUGAUCAAAACCCUUGCAAACAAAUUCGAACAAGGUUCUUAAGUUCUCAGGGCUGGGUGCAGUUACAAAUAUAUUUGAAUACCUGUGAAGAUAUAUUUGUAUCGUCAAAACAUAGUACAUGAAUAUGAGUGUAGACAGCUACACAUACACCAAAACAGUUUUAAUACAUUGUAAAAGGCAUACUACCCUGCAGCAAUAGCUCCGGAAAUUGCCAAACCAAGUGCAGCCGAUUUUCCACGGCCUCGAGCAGCAAGCAAGGCAACAGUACUUCGGAGUGUCUUGUCCAAGAUUGCAUCAAGAAAUGUAGCAACAGCAUUUCCCUGUUGAAACAUUUACCAACUCAAACUAUGAGUCAUAUUAGUAAAUCACACAUGAUAGAAAAACUCAAAACUAAUACAAAUCAGAGAGAGUGCCUACCUGGUCCAACGUACAACAUUUCUUUAUUAAAGGGCCAACAGGAAAGGCAUCACUCAGCUGCUCUUUUAGAUCCUUCAGUUCCCUUUGUGACUCUGAUAUCCCUUCAGAGUCCUUCAAUCAUGAUCAGAAAACAAGAAAAAAGUUAUCAAAGUUAUCAAAGCUUCACAAACUCCUAGAAAGUAUCCUAAUAACCAUUCGGUAUACACACACUUGAAAAAUUACUUUUAUUCUUUUUGUCAUCUCGCAUAAGAUGCCACGAAAAUAAAGCAUUCCUCGAUUUAUCAGUUCCGUCCUAUAGAAAAGUUACAAGGCUAAAAGGUUACCUCUUUCACUGGAACUGGGGUAAUUGACCUCAUAUGAGAUGAAAUUGGUAAAAUAUUCAGCUCAUCAUCCAUUACUACACAUGAUUUGCAUGACGCAAGUGACAAUAAGAAACGCUCGUUAAAACGUCCAGUAGCCUUAGAAUGGGAUUCAGUUCGAAACCUAUCAUGAACAUCCUGAAAUCAAGAGGCGCUGAUAAGACUGUAUGGAGAUUUUUGCAUUUGAGAGAACGAGAAAGACAGUGUUGCAAAUAAAACAUGACAUAACGGAAUUGUUAUCAAAUAUAAUAUGUGGUGCAUGGCUAUUGCUAUAUUCGUUCUAAGUCCAUAAUGUAGUAAAACUAGAAACUACCUCAACAAGAAGAACAAAUAUUAUGAGGAAACCUAGUUGUUUUUUCUUCUUCUUUUUGGGGCUAGAACAUGAAAAGAAACAACUAGUCUACAUAGGCCCAACUGGGAAACUUAUAUGUUCAGCAGCAUUCUCUUAAAGAAAGUCAAGCAAUUGAAUCUACCAAAAGUCUUCUUGUAGCCAAGCACAUCAUUACGAAAAAAUUCGGAAACUUUUAACAUGGCUAGUUUUCAAGAUUUUGCGGUAUAUAAUAAGCAUAACCAUGCUGGCCUAAAAACUAAGCAUUAAUUGUGUGCAUGCGUAAGAGAAAGAGGUAUUAUUAUAUGCAUACCAUAACCAUGGUGUAGAGGUUGGUGAGUGAGGUUAGAGAAUGAAGCAACAAUAUGACUAGUCCACCUCCCUCCACUGUCUCUAUCGUUCUUGCUAGUAGAUUUGGAGUCAAGGCCUCAAAAUCCUAAUGCAGGAGAUCAAACUUAGUCAUAAAACUUAAAUCAAUUAUACAAGGGGUCUUGGCCAAACCAGUAAAUUUGUAAGUUUCAAGUUACCUGAAGUAUACACAUUCCAAAGGUAUUACCAAGAACUCUUUCUGAAUCCUUGUACAAGCAAUAAGUCAAUCCCCCACUUUCAACAAAAAGUGAGAAAGGAUCAACCUUCUCGGGAUCAAGCAGCCCCCUCUGCAUCAUCUUUUUUACUUGCUUAGCACGUUUUUUCUUGUGACUGCAUCAUGAAGUAGUCAAACGCAACGAAUCAAUAUAUUUUAAAAACGAAAUUCCGCCUUGCCUUAUAAUAAGGUGAAGAAUGGAAGGUAGAAGAAAUCAACCUGCUGAGCUCGAGCUUGUCCUUGUAGCACCACAACACAGUCGGGCGCGAUUUCUUUACUUCAUUGCUUAGCAUAUAAUGAAGAUUCACAAUCUGAAGACCAUAUAAAACUCCAUAUUAGCCAUUUUCCGUUAGUUUUCGAUAGAUUUUCGAUGAUAUUUCUUACCUUGUUUGAGGUUUUUAGUGUUACUCGGUGAGUAUUGCAGGUGAAAACAAGAAACAGUAAAACUGGUAAAAUUUUCUACCCAAUUCAAUUUAAAUCAUUGUUAUAACUCCUCAAAUUGAAUAGGAAUAGCAAAUAGGGAAUGGGAUAGGAAAGGCAGAAGAAAUUAGGAGUACCUGGUCACGGGAUUUGUCGCCGACGAUGACGAACAUGGAGCGGUGCCGGUUUUUGACGCCAUUGCUUAUUAGGGUUCGGAUUCGUUCGUCCACCUUCUUCCUCAUUCUCUCUCUCUCUUCUCUCUCUGUGCAAUUAGGUUUAGGGUUUAUACCAUAGGGCAGUUGUCGUCGUCGGGCAGGGUUUAAGCCGAACUAGUGAGAGAGAGACUAGACAUCGCGGAGAGAUAUUGAGUUCAUCUCAACCGUUGAUUGGCUAUCUGAUGGCUGUUAUCAAAGCUGACAUAAAAAUGAAAACUCAACACGUGGCCAAGUAUUUUUUUUCUCUCUUUUUUGGCUUAUUUAUUGAUUUGCCCCAGAAAUUAUUUUUUUUGUCUUACUCUAGGUCAUGAAACAGAAUUUAUCUUACUUUAUCUUCUAAAACUACCAAAAUCGAGUCAUUUCACCCAUGUUUUGUCAAUUCUAUCUCAUAAACGUUAAAUAAAAGGGAGUCUAAACAUUUCAUACCAUGCUAGCAAAGAUGAGCCACUGUUGUUGGUGAGGUACGAAAUUUUCAAACUUUCCUAAACCUUUAAAACUUAAAAGGUAUCUUGAAUAUGAACGUAAAUGAGGUAAAGUUGCUCAAUUUUGGCAAUUUAUGAAGGGUAAAAUGAGACAAAUUCAAUUUAAGGCUAAAGUGAGAGUAAAUGGCAGUUUCAUGAGAUAUAUCAAUAAAUAAAUCUUUUCUAGAAUACAACUAAAUUAUGUACUCACGGUAAAAGAUAAAUUAAUAUCGAACUUGUCAUUGACGAUAUCUAAACAUAAAACCUUUCAAGUUUUUACCUAUAAGAAUAAAUUUGGUAUAGUAAUUUCUUUUCUAAUUUAAAGUUUCCCAUAGAGUUAUGACGAAUUUGAUACCAAAUUAGGCUGUCAUUGUGUGGCAUAGCCGAAUUCCUCCUCCCUUACUUUAAAAAUAACGAUGUACUCAAAAAAAGUUUCCCAUAGAGUUAAAAUGAUCUUUAGUUGCUUGCUGAGACAACCCAUAUGUAUAAUAAGACAUUGAAAAAGGUGCCUCUGUCAUUUACACUCACACGAUCGAAUAAGUAGCUCCGACAGUUGCAUCAUAAAAUUAAGGGGUUUUCCGAGAUUGUAGUAAGGUUGACGAUUAAAGUUUGGGAAAUUUUCAGGUUAAGGAAUCAAGGGAUCACAUUUUCAAGUUUCGUAGGCAUUCUCUUUCCUUUGGAAUGGUGUUGGAAUCCGUCCUGAAGUUGCCCAUUCCUUUGCUCUUGAUUUUCAGAGUUGGAUAGCUAUAAACCUUAGGACACAUUGUACCACCAUACAUGGUUUACCUUGGAACCUUAUCUUUAAUUCAACUCUCUGGCAUUGCUGGAAAUGGAGGAAUAACUUUGUCUUCAAUGAUGGCCAACAACCGCUUGACUCACCCCAGAAUUUCAUUUUUCAAUUUGCAAGGGAAUGGUGUGAUGCGAACAAGUGUUCUUCUAGUAAGCCUCCUAGACAAAAUCAUCUCAAUCCAUUGGAUUCGUUUGCCAAUUGGUAUACAAAAUCAAUACAGAUGGGAGUUGUAAAGACCCAUUUAGCCACAUAAGUGCUGGAGGUUUGCUUCGUAAUUCUGAAGGGAAAUGGAUUAAGGGAUUUGCUGCUAAUUUGGGCAGAGGAACCAUCAUGGAAGGUGAGCUUUAAGGGUGGUUUCAUGGGACUUUCUAUAGGUUGGGAUGAGAGUUGCAAGGAAGUGAUUAUUGAAUGUGAUUCUUAUGCUGCUGUUACUUUGAUCCAACAACCUAUUUUAGUUCCCACUCUACAAUCUCAUUAUUGACUGCAAAGAAGCCAUUGAAAGAAAUUGAAGAUGUGAAGUUACUCAUAUCUAUAGAGAAAAUAAUGUCUUAGCUAAUCACACGUCUGACUUAGGUCAUGGGUUAUCACUUGGUCUUCAUGUUUUUGCUUCUCCUUCUACCAUUGCUACUAAUUUUAUAGUUUCUAAUACUAUUGGCAGGGCCCUCCCUAGAGCUGUUUUUUAGUAGCUUUUUUGUUUUGCUUGUUGGGCUUUGCCCUCUUCUGUACCCAAAAAAAAAAAAAAAAAAAAAAAUAUUGGGAAAUUUAUUUGGACCCAACUUUUUUAUCUCUACACCCAAAUAAUAUUUUCUCUUAUCUAAUCUUCCAAAUUUGUCCUUAAAUAACAAACAUUGAAGUUUUCUUUGUAUCUCUACACCCAAACCCCACGAUCCACCACUGUAGGGCGCUCCAUUAUUUCCGACAAACCCAACUCAAACGCCAGCAACACUAAAAUCGACAAAUCAAGACUGGAGAACAAAUGGUGUAGGAGUCCUAAUGUGAAUAUUAAAGCAAACUUAAGUUGCAAAACCCUUUUUUAUUUCAAUCGAUGAAAGGACCUUGGGUUAUGAACAUAAGGAACCUAUUAGGGUUUAGAGGUCCCCUCCACAUCAUAUGCAUAAGCCCUUUUUCUUCAUUCAUUAAUUUACGGAAGGGAAAAUUAAUACUAUUAUUCUCAUAAAAAGUGGGAAUACCAAGGAAAGAGAUCCUCUCCACACCAUAUAUUUUUCUUUUCUGAGUAGUUAUAUCCAAUGGAGAGAGGAAAACAAGAGCACCAAUGGUCGCAGGUUCACCGGAGAAAAUGAAGGUGCAGUGGUGAUGUGAGUUUAGGGUUAUUGGGUGUAAAGAUAACAACUUUAAUAUUUAUUUUCUCAUUUUUAUUUAUUUAAGGGCAAAUUUGAAAGUUUAGUAGAGAAAAUUUGUUAGUUGGGUGUAGAGAUAAAAAGGUUGGGUCCAACAAAAUUUCUCAUAAAGUUUAAUCACGCGAUUAAGUUCUUGUGCAAUGAGUAAAUUGUAGCAAUGACCCAUCAACUAAAAAUCCAUUAUUAUUGAUCCCUCAACUCAUCAAAAUAUGUAGUUAUGGUCAUUUUCGUCAACUUUGUAAGAAUUUUGUCAAAAUAAAUUAUGUUGGAAGGACCAUUGUUACAAUUAAGGUCCUUCAACUCAUCAAAACAUGUAGCUAUGGUCAUUUUCGUCAACUUUGUCAAAAUGAGUUAUGUUGGCAUGACCAUUAUUGCAAUUGGGUUAAAGUUGAGGAAUCAUUGCUCCAAUUGGGUUAAAGUUGAGGGAUCAUUUCUCUAGUUAGAUUAAAGUUGGGGGACCAAUGAUAAUUAAGUUUUAGUUAAGGGAUCAUAGUUGCACGUUUUGAUGAGUUGAGAGAUCAAUGAUAAUGAAUUUUUAGUUAAUGGAUCAUUACUCCAAUUGAGUUAAAAAUAAAGGACCAUUGCUACAAUUUACUCUUGUGCAAUAGAAGAUUAAUUUGGCCGAACAACCUGAUUAAGGUGCCUACUUUCUCUUUAAUUCAUUGGUAUCAUUUAUUUUCCCUUAAGCUGAAUUAUGCUCAAUUUAUGUAUCAAUAUUGUAAAGUUGUCUUUGUUAGAGUAAUUUGGACAAUAUAAAUUGAAAAUUAUUUGUGUAUAUGGAAAAGAUUAACCUCAGGGGUCACUUCGCCGGACUCCGUAGCAAUCUCCACCACUCCAAUCGUAAUGGUGAGUAAAUCACUUGUGUUUGUUUCCAUUUUUUCAAUUGGAAAUUGGGGGUUUUGAAUUCAUAUUUUGUCAAUUGGUUUUGUGAGCACUGAGAAUACACUACGAGCUUGUGUGUGUGUACAAUAUGUUGGAUUUGAUCUUUAUAAAGAAUGCGAGAAAUUGGGGUUAGGAAAGAGAAGAAAAGGAAACAGAACUCGAACUUCGAUCUUCAUUCUUGUUACUAAAGGAGAAAACCGAAUUUGAACCGGUUCAUACGUAAUCGAACCGAAUUUGUAUAGUUCGGUUCACCCCUUAGUACCGAACCGUACCAUACCAAAAAAAAUUUCUUGAGUUUGGUUUUGAUACAUCCCUCAUACUGUACCAUACCAAAUCGUGGCCAGACCUACUGAAUACAAAACUUAUAUCUGGGUCGUAAGUCGUAAGGCCUCCAAAAAAAAAGUUCAUAUUAUUCAUACCAAUCGGACAAAUCCCGCACCCAAAAACAAUGGCUAGAUAGAAAGUUCAAUUAUAGAUUAGGUAAUCUAUCCUUUUCAACUUAAAUGCACAUUCAUGAUGGUUAUGCAAAUCAUAUUAUGUUAACAAAUGCAACAAUUAAUUAUAUUUAUCCAUUUGGAAUGAUAUAUAUUUUCAAAGAUGGAAUUACAGACCCCGUUGACGUUGAGGCCAUUGCAUGAGAGAAUUUUAGAUGAUUUUCAAUUAAUUUAUAUUAUUGUUGUGAUAACCAUAAUAAUUAUUUUCUAAAUGUAAAACUAUAUUAAUGAAAUUUUCUUUGUCGGUCAAAAGAAGAUGAAAAGAUAUCUUUAUCUUCUAUCACAACAAAAAAAUUAAGGAUAUUAAUGUAAUAGGCUAAUAGCGAUGGGGUGAAGAAAUGGAACUAUCCUAAAUAGGCAGUUGCUGGUUAUAUUGGAUCAGGUGGUCUGAAUGAUUGGAUAAUUAGCAAAUAAAAAGGUUCCAUUUUUCAUGGACCCUCAAGUGGAAAUAUGGGAUAAAAGAUGGCAUAUACCAUUUUAUCCAUUUGUGAUUGUACAUUUUGAUGGUUGUGAUUUCACCCGAUGGCGCGGCAAGUGUGGAUUGGGAUAAGGAUGGUUUUGGUCUAUCAUCAAAGAUGGUUUGAUGUUCACGACUGGAUUUUACAACGCAUCCAAGUGCAUGGGUUCUAUAAAUACAGAGUUGCGCACAAUAAAAAAGUACAAAGGACCUUCAAACCUUUCACACACUCUGAGAAACUCCUGAUUCUCCCAACUUCGUCAACACAUCUUCAAUUUGGAUUAACAUCACUGUUUGUCAGUGAGGAGUCCUUAGUCUUCUCGUCUCAUUAGCCCUCUAGGUGAAGUGAGGUGUUACUGAAUUACUUGAGUAUUCAGCACAUUGAAAGUCGAACCUUAUUUGAACUUCACAGUAGUUAGCAAUCUUAUCUUCAGGUUUUAGAACCCAAUGCCAAGACAUAUUCCUUCCUCGACAGUGAUGGUUUGUACACAAAAGUUGGUUUGUACACAUAAGUCAGUAUUGUGUUUGACACACCAUCCCAUUCAUUCUACUAGCCCACAAACGCGUGGACUCGUCCAAAAUUACCCCACUCUCGGCCCGUUCACUUGCCCACUCGUCCCACGCGGCCCGUGAGUCUUCAGUGCCUGAUAGGGGGGCCUACUGUUAGGGCCGUUGUUGGCCACAACCCAGAGCCCAACGAUUUUUUUUUGCAUCCCACGACUGGCAUUUUUGGACCGUUGGUUGAUCCAACGGUCCAGAUUCAAAUUUUGUUUUUUUAAAUGUUAUUUUAAAAUACAUUGAAUCCAACGGCUGAGAUCGAAUAUAAUCAAAUCUAACGGUAAAAUAAAAAAAGAUAAAAAAAGAUAUAACAGUCCAAAUUUAAAUCCAACAGCUAAAAUAAUUUUAAAAAAAAUUAUUUAACUCAAAAUUCACCCAAAAACUCUAUAAAUACCUUUGUAUUUGUUCAAACAUCCACACAAAACUCAAUUUUCUCCCACAAUUCUUCCAUUUUUUCUUUCUACCAUUUCUUUCCAUUUCCAAAUUGUUCAACACGAUCCUUGAAUUGGCCAUCCCAAGCAGUAAGACAAUUCUUCCACUCCCAAAGCAUACAAUCGAGACUUCCUAUCAUGUCAGGAAAGCCUAUUUUGUCUGCUUUGAGUAGAAUGUGACGACAUGUCCCGAAUUAUUAUAUAUUUUUCUCCCUAAGUGUGUAAAGUGACGGUAAUGCCCUCGUGAUUUAGUGACGUGGAUGUACAUAUGUAGUUUUAAAUUAUUAUUUCUAUUGUCGUAGUUAAAUUGUACUCGACGCCAUGAGUGUGUUGAUGUGACCUAGGGCUAAAACAAAUUCGUAACGAAGAAGUUACGAACAGACGAGUGUGUAAAUGCGUAGAAAUAUAUUUUUAUGGGUUGGCUAUACCUUACCCACCAAUCACCUUAAUUCCUGAUUUCUUUGGCCUAAUUGAAUUAAAAAUAUCUCUCAUUUUUCCUUCUGCCCAAUCACGCACAUACACACCAUCACUCUCUCUCUUCUCUCGGACCUUCUUCUUCUUUCUUCUCAUUCCGUACACCCGAGCCACCCUUACCUCACAAUCAUCAUCAAAACAUUAUGGAUCGAAUUGGAAAUCACUACCAUCGCAGUCACCUCGAUCCCACGAACUCAUUGAUACCCUUAGGUCGAGGAAUAGACGUCGGGAAUUCGAGAACUCGGGAGCUCUGGCGAGGUGUAUUUUUCUACUUUGUGAUCGUGGUCUUUUUCUAUGGUUUAAAGGCUUGAGGUGGGUCCUAAUCAACUUUAUAGGGACCCUAGAUUAGUUUUGGAGCAGUUUGAACGUUGGAAUAGGUGAGAACAUGGAGUUGCAGGUUGGCCGGUUGAUCCAAGCCUUACUCCGACCACUUUCUGUCGGUUUUAGAACCUCAAGUAGGUAAGAUUGUAUUCUUCUAGUUGAGAGUUUCAAAUCCAUAUAAAAUUCAUGGAAUUUGGUUGAAAAAUGAUGAAGAUAUUAAAGUUUUAAGAUUUUUCCAAAAAUCAGCGACACAAACGGCGCCCGACGGCCAGCGAUGGAUUCCGACAAAGCCAUCGGAGAAGGAGGAGAAUAUUAUGUCUAACUUUGACAGAAUAUACUAACAGCGUCAGGUAACUCUAUUAGUUUUUAAACAAAAUAUUCUACUAUUUAAUGAAAUAUUCCCUAACGCCGUUAGGGAUUCCGUGCCUGCACGUGCCGGCUUAUGAGGGCGCGUGAGACGUCAGGAAAUUAAUCUAAAAAUAUUGGGGUGUUCGAGUUGUUGAGUAGGUCAUGUUGGUAUAUUCAAACACCCUAUUUGAGCAACGUAUGAGAAGUUAUUCCUAGGGUUUGUGUAUGUGCCUUAAAAUUAAUGUAAAAUUAGUUAUUUCGCAUAUAGGUGAGACUUACCCGGAGGACAAACGUGGUCAAACGAGACUUGGGGGCUACGAUCCUACUACUUACCAGUGAGCGGGCUUUUUUUUUCUAUAUAUAUGUAAAUAUGCUUAUGAAUCCCAUAAACUACUUUAAAUGAACGUAUGUUUUAAAUGCCAUGUCGUGUGCAUUAUGUGUUAGUAUUGCAUUAGUAUAGCUAUGCAUAGUAUUGGAUGAGACUGCGCAGACUCAGGUAAGUUUCAGGUGAGUACAUCAUGAUGGUAUUGGGUGCGUGUGUGUGGUUAUACGUUGAUGCAUUUUGAGCUUAUUAUCCUGCACAUUGGUGUUAGUGUUCUCGCCCAUGGCCAGGGCAUAGUUUUUCACAUGAUGUUCACCUCCUGGGCCGCACGCUCACUUUGGAUCCAAGUUUGGUGCACAGCCAUAUUGCACAGACCACAAUAGGUGGUUCCGACUCGUAGGUGACCUGCAAUUAUUUGCACAGCCUUCACGUGAUCGUAGCACUUAAGCGUACUUAUCUACACCCAGCCCUGUUGUACAGACCACAAUAGGUGGUUCCGACUUAUGUGCAUGCAUACUUGAUGAGCUAUAGAUUCAAUUGUACAGGUUACAUUAGGUGACUCCGGUUGGCAUACUAUUUUAGGUUGAUUCGUAUCACCUGGCUUACACAUUUUAUGGUUGAACAUCUUGACAUGGCAUACCUCUGUUUUCACUGCUCUAAGCAUUAUCCUUAUGUACCUAGUUGUUAUUAUUUUCUGGAAAAUUAUAUGGGUUUACAGUGAGGGGUUAGUAUGUUCAUAAAGACAACUGUGUUUUCAAAAACUUUGUUUUUGCCUACUCACAUUUUUUGUUUUGCACCCUUUCAGGUUCUAGGUAGUUGGUCAUCCUUGGUGGCUCACGAGGACUUUCACGGCGGUUCUGACAUCUCUGUAAAUAAGUAGGGAUUUUUUUCCCUGUUUGUAUAAUUAGUACUUAGUUGGUUCGAUUGCACUUUCGUUUACCCAUGCUCUGAUAUUUGUAUAACUUGCUUGGUCAUCUUUACUCACUUAUAUUAUCUUAGUUUAGAUAAGUUUGGUUUUAGGUUUUUAUUUAUUCGCAUUUCUUUUAUUAUUACUUCUGUUGCGCAUUUUGGCUACGUUACUCUUACGUGACGGGCAUCAUGUUUCGACUUCGGUUGGGGUGUGUCAUAAAAGCCUCUUCAAGUCUUCAUGAUUUGGCUUGCAGAGAUAUGUGGCUCCAUAUGUGGCCUGAAUUGCCCCACAGAAGCGCUCCAGGUUUUUAAUAGCAGUAGUCUCCGCAAGUCGGCAAUACUCAUCAGUUGAGUUUGCAGAGCACUCAUUAGCUAGCAUCCGAAAUGCAGAUGUGAGCUUCUGAUGAGGUGAUAGACUUUGUCGGCCUACGACAUUUAUCUUCCUUGCAAAGUAGUGGUCAUGAUUGACAACUGUGUUCAAGAUGCUUUCAAAAAUCUCUCUCCUCAUUCGAAACCGUCUCCGAAAAUCAUGAGCAGGAAAUCUCGGACGCUCAAUAAAAUAAUAUUUCAUCAUUCGGUCAUGACACUCUUCUCUAUCACGUUGCACAAAUGAACGCUUCGUGACAUAACCACAAUAGCUAGAUUCGACAUGGUGCUCAUAUUGCAUAAGCGAGUUUGGAAGUUUAGCUUAUGCGUUGAUCAUUUUUGAAUCCUCAAUGUCAAGGCUUGCUUGGUAUUAUGUCAUUUGCAUUGCCCUGCUACACCUUCUUCUAUCAUCCAUUGUUGAUAUAUUGAGGAUUUUUAUGAAACAAAAACACUUUGAAAGUUGAAAGAUUAGUGAAUAUAGGGAAUGAUUGAAGGUUGAAAGAUUGUGUGACCAACUGAUAUUGAACAUGUGUUUAUAUAGAGGAUGAUUGAUGAAAGUUGAAAGUUUGGUGAAAGUUGAACGGUUGGUGAAAGUUGAAGAUUUGUGAAAGUUAAAGACUUGCUUUGUGGAAAGAUUUAGUGAUUUUUUCAAUAUUUAUUGGAAUUUAAAUAUUUUUAUAUUAAAAUGUUCAUAAAAUUAAUUUACCAUAGGCUACAUAAUUUUUUUUAAAAGUUAAUUUAAGAAAAAAAAUUAGCCUAAGUUCAUUCUUUAAUAAUCCCGAACUAAAAUUUUAGGCUAGGGUUGGAGCAGAAAAACUGUUUCUGUGUUAAAAGCUAAAUUUUUUAGAUUAAAAAUUUUAAAUUUUAACCCAAAGGUUGGAGAUGAUUUAAGAAUGGAUAAACUUAACCAAGAAAAGAAGAAAAAAGAUGAAGGGCAAAUAAGUGAGAAGCAACAUGACACGACACACGGACGACCAUAGCAAUAAAGCGUGCGUCCUCACGUCCAUUGAAUAUAUAGAUGGGAGCUACAACAUCGUGUUUCACGUGCAUGUGUAUUAUACAUAAAGGCAUAUACAGUGUUAGCUUAUAUAUUAUAAAGUUUGUAGGCCACUUACCCAAUUUGGCAUAUGUUUUAUCUUUUUACGUGAAUAACCAAUGUGUUAUGAUGAUACAAGUCUCUUAACAUAUCCGGAGUUAGAAAUAUCAUAAGACAGUGUUGCGAUCAUAUUGAAAUUAAUUGACAGUUUGUAUUAUAUAUUUGAUUAUUCUUUAUUAACUUAAGGAGACAGCAUACUUAGACCUAAUUUAGUCACAUUCUCCAACCGAAAAUAAAGCGGUGUAGUAUUCAUACACUUUUUUUUAUUUCUUACACAGUCUUAAUUAAUUUCUAUUGUUUGAUCUUCUUCAAUUCAUUCGAUCUGACGACCGAAAAUUAAGAUGGUGUGUGGACGAGUAAAUUAUAACAAUGGUCCCUCAACUUUAAUCAAAUUGGAGCAAGGGUGCUCAACUAAAAAUCCAUUACCAUUGGUUCCUCAACUCAUCAAAAUGUGUAGCUAUGGUCAUUUUCGUCAACUUCGUUACAAUUUUGUCAAAAUAAGUUAUAUUGGAAUGACUAUUGCUACAAUUGGGGUCCCUCAACUCAUCAAAACGUGUAGCUAUGGUCAUUUUCAUCAAUUUCGUUAGAAUUUUAUCAAAAUGAGUUUUGUUGGAAUGACCAUUGCUACAAUUGAAUUAAAGUUGAGGGACUAUUAUUUCAAUUGAGUUAAAGUUGAAAGAUCAUUUCUUCAGUUGUAUUAAAGUUGAAGGAUCAAUGGUAAUGAAUUUUUAGUUGAGGGGACUAUAGCUGCACGUUUUAAUGAGUUGAGAGAACAAUAAUAAUGAAUUUUUAGUUGAAAAACUAUUACUUCAAUUGAGUUAAAAUUAAGAAACAAUUGCUACAAUUUUUUUAUAUGGAAAGUGGAUGAUGUGAAUAGCACAUCCAAAAAUAAAAGGGAACUUUAACGAAAAGCACCCGGUACUGUUCACUUUAACGAAAAACCACAUUUUUACACUAAAAAGUCAAUCCUGGUACUAUUCACUUUACCCUUUAUUUUGUCCUUAUCAUUAAAACUCAAAGUUUUCAAGCCCUUUUCAUUAGUUUUCCUAAAAUAAAAUGCACCACAAUUUGGUAGGAUCUUCCUGUUGAGAGUAAUAAAUUAAUAAUUGCCGAAAUAUUGGAUAAUUUGUCGGCCACAACGCUAUGAGGGAGUAUCUGGGGAUGAAUAUACUCUUGCCGACAGAUGCCCAAAUUCCAACUGCCAUUCAAAUGAGCCCUCCACCACCACCGGCCAUAAUAAAUUCUCUUUCUUUAGUGAAGAAGAAAAAGAGGUACUUGGCCCUCACCUCAACUUUUUGAGAAAGAACAAGUUUAUCGCUAUCAGAAUGUUUCGGUCAAUUAUAUAAGUUAUGUGUAAAUUUUUCUUUAGAUAACAUUACAUUAUUAUAUUUAAAAUGUUCCGUAACGAUAAAUUUGUUUCAUACAAAUUAUUCUCCAACUUCUUGGAUUUUUCUCCUUUUUCCCGAAAACCAGCUUAUAUUAGUGUUCAUCCUCUGUCAAUAUCACUCGCCCACAACUAUUCAACUAACUUUUAAUAAUUUGACAACGUGUCAUAUUUUUGUGCAAAGCGGGCCCAUUUUUGUGGGUGAUAUAAUAAUGGCGUAUGUGGUUUGUCAAGACAUAUACUCAUUUAUCCAUUAGCAGUUAGGUAAGUCACCUCACUCACCCACAGCCUAACACAUCAACAAAUAUUGCUUACAAAUUCUAGAAAAUUCGACCAAGAAAAAAAACCAAAUGCUCGCAAAUUAAAAUUGUGUAACAUGAUUAGUUUUUUAUCCAUUAGUAUUAAUUUUACGUUGGAAGAAAUUCCAAAUUUAUUCUUGUAAAGAGGGAUAUGAAAAUACUUUGUAUGUCUAUCACCAAAAUCUUCGAAUGUUUGAAUGGUUGAUUUUCAAGUCUCACACAAUUGGAUUUAGUUCAAGUGAGAAAGAAAUACACUCAAACUAUUAGAUAUGAGGAAUGAAAAUACACUACAAAAUCUUGUGAACAUUUCUAAUAUUCUCUUCUAUCUACUUUUUGUGAACCAAGUUUUUAUUUGUUUUUUUUUUUAACAAAAGAUAUUUUUUAUACUAGGGAAAUAAGGUGGGUUUAGCCUCAUAAUGGGCUAACAUAAUCUAGUUCAAACUUGCAUUUGGUGAGAAUCGAACCUAAAAUCUCUCACUUACAAGUGAAGAGGAAUACCAUUAGAAGUGUCAUGAAAUUAGCAGUCUUAUAUGUAAAAAAUUGAUUGACUAAAUGCUGUGUUAAAAAACAAGAUUAAUACUUGCAUCUCCCCACUUGGAAAAUGCAAAUAUUUCAUUUCUUGCAAAUAACGUAUAUCAUGCGUUCUGUUCAAUCGCAUAUUCAAAAAUGUUAAAAACAAGAUUAAUAUUUCUAUCUCCCCACUUGGAAAAUGCAGUAUUUCAUUUUUUACGAAUAACGUAUAUCCUGUGUUCCGUCCAAUCGCGUAUUAAAAAAAUGUGUGAAGUUUGGAUUAACUACACUCUUUGAGAAUUUCCUUAAAUAACCACUUUUUGAAAAUUUCUUAUAGGACUAAGUGAGUCUCCGCUGAGAAUUUCCUUAACUAACACAACACUACUUGAGUGAUAAUUUGUUAUAUCUUGAAUAGAGAAUAAAUCAGUUCCCUACUUUUGAAGGUACUAUUAACUUACACUAUAUUUGAAUGAGAACAAUAAACUUAGAAUUUAGAUGAAGGAAAUAAAACAGUUUCCUACUUUUGAAGGUACUACUCGAGUGAUAAUUUGUUAUAUCUUGAUAACGUGUCAUAUUUUUUUGCUAAGCGGACCCAUUUUUGUGGGGUGGUAUAAUAAUGGCGUUUGUUGUUUGUCAAGGGCAUAUACCCAUUUAUCCAUUAGCAGUUAGGUCACCUCACUCACCCACAACCUAGUACAUCAACAAAUAUUGCUUACAAAUUCUAGAAAAUUCAACCAAGAGAAAGAAAACCAAAUGCUCGCAAAUUAAUCUGUGUAACAUUAGUUUUUAUCCAUUAGUAUUUAUUUUACAUUGGAAGAAAUUCCAAAUUUAAUCUCGUAAAGAGGGAUAUGAAAAUACUUUGUAUAUCUAUUAUCAAAAUCUUUGAAUGUUUGAAUGAUUGAUCAUCAAGUCUCACACGAUUGAAUUUAGUUCAAGUGAGGAAGAAAUACACACAAACUAUUAUAUAUGAGGAUUGAAAAAUACACUACAAAAUCUUGUGAUAACAUUUCUAAUAUUCCUUUCUAUCUACAUUUUGUGAUAAGUUUUUUUUUUCCUUUUUUGAACAAACUAUAUUUAUCUACAUUAAGGGAGAGGAGGUGAUCUUAGCCUCACAAUGGGCUAGCAUAAUGUGGUUCAAAUUCGCCUUUGGCGAUAAUCGAACCUAAAACUUAUCAUUUACAAGUAAAUAGGAAUACCACUAGAUGGAUCAUGAAAUUAGCAGUCUUAUAGGUAAAAAAAAAUUGAUCGACUAAAUGAUGUGUUAAAAAACAAGAUUAAUACUUGCAUCUCUCCACUUGAAAAAUGUAGAUAUUUCUGUGAACACGGAAAAUUCCUGAAACGAAAGAGACAAGAACAACGUGCACAAAAUAAUAUUUUGGUGUUAAUGGAUUUGUUGGGUUACGAUCUCUUUUAACUUGAUCCUCUGAUUCGAUCUCCGUAAGGUGUUGAUUUAUGGAUGUUUCGUUGAUCCAAGGGCUGUUGAGGCUUGAUCUUAGAUGAACUGUUGGAAGUUUCUUCAAGGGGCCGUGGGCUUGAUCUUUGAAGGUGGAUUUGAGCGGAUCUUCAAGGAGCCGUUGGGGCUUGAUCUUGAGGAUGAGUGUUUCUUCAAGGGCCGUUAAGGCUUGAUCUUGAAUAACGGUGAUGAACGGAUCUUCAAGGGCUUUUGGGCUUGAUCUUGAAGAACGGUUGGAUGUGUGGAUUUGUUGAUGUUGUUGAUCCAAGGGCCGUCGGAGCUUGAUCUUGGAAGAACGAUGAACGAAGAACGAAGAACACUUUCUUCAAAGGCCGUCGGGGCUUGAUCUUGAAUUGGUGAUUGUUGAUCCAAGGGCCGUCGGGGCUUGAUCUUGGAAGAACGAUGAACGAAGAACGAAGAACACUUUCUUCAAGGGCUGUCGGGGCUUGAUCUUGAAUUGGUGAUUGUUAAUCCAAGGGCCGUCGGGGCUUGAUCUUGAUUCUUCGGGAUGAACGGAUGAUGAACAAUGAACACUUUCUUCAAGGGCCGUCGGGGCUUGAUCUUGAAUUGGUGGAAGUUCUUCAAGGGCCUUUGGGGCUUGAUCUUGAAGGUGGAUGAUUGUUGAUCCAAGGGCCGUCGGGGCUUGAUCUUGGGAUGAACAGUUGUGUGGAUUUGUUGAACACUUUCUUCAAGGGCCGUCGAUGCUUGAUCUUGAAUUGGUGGAAGUUCUUCAAGGGCCGUUGGGGCUUGAUCUUGAAGGAGGAUUUGACGAAGAACGAAGAGGGCUUUCUUGAUCCUUCGGGAUUUGCUUGAAUUUGGGAGGUUGGAUGCUUGAAAGCUUUAGAGUUUCAAAGCUUCAAGGAUUUUGGAUGUGUGGGGAGUAUUCUCUUCCAUUUUGGGAGUAGAGAAAUGUAUUUGUGAAUUGGUUUUUGAUACCUUGAUGUAGAAGCCUAUUUAUAGGCUUUGAGAAUGAAUCACCACCACAAAAUAUUUUUUUUCUUUUCCAAGCACCAUUGCCUAAUUUCCCACUUAAUACAAUUUUAAACUUGAAGUGGUAAUUUUAUGGCCUAAUUUUCCACUUAAUAUCAUUUUAAACUUGAUAUGUGCAUGCUUUGUCAUUGCCCAAAAUGAGAAGAAAACCUUGUUUUGAUCUUCAAUGAAUUGAAAUGUGCUUGCCUUGUCAUUGCCCAAAAUGAGAAGAAAAACUUGUGUAAUCCUUCAAGGGUAUUUCUUUUUAUUUUGUUGAGUCGCACACCAUGUGUACAAUUUGUAUGACACGUGGCAUAUGCCAUGUACGCCUUGACACGUCAAAAUUUUAAUGCGUUGGUGAACAUUUAUUUCACCGCAAUUUCGGUGUCUACAAAUGCCCCCACUUCAAGGUGCGUCGUAUACAUGUGCUUGUCACGUGUAGGAGAUGCGUUUUGAAGUCCCUUACUGUAGAUGUCAAUCCAAUGGCCAUCGAGGCUUGAUCUUGAAUUGGGCUGGAGAUUUCUUCAAGGGCCGUUGAGGCUUGUUCUUGGACUUUGUUUGAAAUUUCUUCAAGGGCCAUCGAGGCUUGAUCUUGAAGGUUGAAAUUGGACCACAAGGAGCUUCAUGUGGUAGAUGAUCUUUGGCUUUGGUAGUGGAUGAAUCGGCACGUAUUUGUUUUUGCGCUUUGUUGACUUUCCACAGCUUUGAUCUUGAACUGGGUUGGAGGAUUUUUUGGAUUCCUCCAAUUGUUGAUUUUCCACAGUUUAUUCUUGAACUGGAUUUGAUUCAAAUAUGGUGGACGCUUGAUCUUGAAUCGGACUUGUGAUUUCCUCAAGGGCCGUCGAGGCUUGAUCUUGAAUUUGGCCGGAAACUUCUUCAAGGGCCGUUGAGGCUUGAUUCUUGAAGGUUGACUCGAACACAUGGCAAGCAGGCACGAGGUGAAGGUGACGACUUGUUGCUUUGUUCAAUCUUUCUAAUUCACACCUGAGCAGUUUGGUCAACGGUAUGAUCUUCAAGAUUGAUGGGCUCUUCUUCCAGUUGGUGAUUUGAUCUUUAAGGAUUUGAUUCAAGGGUGGUGAAACGGCACAUGCAGCCCACAACGCCUAGCAAGUCGACCCAAGAAUUUGAGGGUUAAAACGAGUCCUCCACCCAGAGUGAUUGCAAACCUGAUGAUAUGAGAUACUUUUGAUUUUGAAGAAGUAGCGGAUGAAUCGGCACGUGCUUUGUUGUGCUUGUCUCCACAUGCUUCAAUGUAUCAUUUUCCCUUGUCUUAUCUAUUCUUCUAGCAGAAUGUAGCAUCUUCUUAAGUUCUUCAACUCAGACUCCUUCUGCUGAGCUGACUGUGCAGGCUGCAUUAUUCUCUGCUUGUUUCUUUAGGCAGAUGUGGCAGCUUCUUGAGUUCCUCAGCUCGGACUCCUUCUGCUGAGCUGAUUGUGAAGACUGCAUUCUUAUCUGCUUGUUUCUUCUGUACGUUGUCUCCACAUGCUGCAAGGUAUCAUUUUCAAUUGCCUUAUUUGUUUUCCAGGCAAAUGUGGCAUCCGAGUUUGAGUGGAGGUUCUGGCAUAUUGUUUUCUUUAUCCUUGUCUUUGUAGGUAAGAACAAGGACAAAGGAAAGGACAGGGAGAACGCAUGAUAUGAUAUACUCUUGCUUUCUACCCUGGUGAUAUGAGAUACUUUUGCUUUGGUGUCAUUUGUUUGCAGAGGUACCCCAAGGAAUAAGAAACACUGAGUGACUCGAGAGGCUUUGUUGGGAAGGCAUUCUAGGAGAUGAAGAAAGGUUCUUGGAGAUGAAGAAAGGUUCUCGGAGAUGAAGAAAGGUUAUGUAUGUCUGCCUUGCUAUGGAGGGUAAAGGUGGACAGUUAUAGGAAAUUCUUUAGUACCUGUAGAGGUACUAUUCUUUUACUCGUGUCGGCAACCAAUGUGUGAUUGAUCAGUAUGGCUUCACGUGUUUUCUUCUUUAUCAGAAAUCUUCGACAAAUUGUCCGUAAUUUUCGUCAAGCUGAGUGUGCAUGUGACAGGUGUUGACGAGGCUGAAAAAGACUGGUGCCUCUUCGAUAUCUGGGAUCGGCGCUUCGACAAAUUGCCCGUGAUUUCCGCAAAGCUGAGUUUGCGCGUGACGGGUGCUGACGAGGCUGAAAAAGACUGGCGCCUCUUCGAUAUCUGGGAUUGGCGCUUUAACAAAUUGCCCAUGAUUUCUGCAAAGCUGAGUUUGCACGUGACGGGUGCUAACGCGUCUGGAAAAGCAAGAUGCUUCUCCGAUUUCUGAGCUUGCCUCUUUGAUUUUUGAAUUGGCCUCUUCGAAUUCUGAGCUCGCCUCUUCGAUCUUUGAAAUCCCAUCGAGUGUUGAUCUUUAUAGAGGCACGCAGUUCGUUUCAAAGCACACUUGAAUUUUCGCUUGUAGAAACUCCCUUCUUGCACUUCUAAGAUCUUGAUUUGUCCGACCUCUUCUUUCUUCAACACCUUUGAAAAUGUCUGGACCCUCCGACCGUCAUUUUGAUUUGAACCUUGGUGAAGAGGUAGUCCCGUCUUCUCCAGAUAACAUAUGACGCCCAUCUUUCAUAUCCCCUACUGGUCCUCUUACCGUUGGGGAUUCGGUGGUGAAGAAUGAUAUGACCGCUGCGGUGGUGGCCCGAAACCUUGUCACUCCCAGAGAUAACAGACUACUUUCCAAACGGUCUGAUGAGUUGGCUGUUAAGGAUUCUCUGGCUCUCAGUGUGCAGUGUGCAGGUUCUGUGUCUAAUAUGGCCCAACGCCUAUUUGCUCGAACCCGUCAAGUUGAAUCAUUGGCGGCUGAAGUGAUGAGUCUCAAACAGGAGAUAUUAGAGGGCUCAAGCAGAGAGAUAAACAGUUGCAUAAGCUCGCACAUAGCUAUGCGACAAACAUGAAGAGGAAGAUUAACCAGAUGCAGGAAUCUGAUGGUCAGAUUUUACUUGAUCAUCAGAGGUUUGUGGGUUUGUUCCAGCAGCAUUUGCCUUCGUCUUCUGGGGCUGUACCGCGUAAUGAAGCUCCAAAUGAUCAACCCUUGGCUCCUCUUCUUCCUGGAGUUCCGCCGAGUGGUGUGGCUUCAAACAGUCAACCUCCGACGCCUCUCAUUUCUGGAGCUCUGCUGAGUGGUGAGGUGGCACCUAAUCGUCCUUGAAGAUCCCCUCUUGUAAAUUUGAUUUGAUUUUUUUUUAAGUAUGUAUAAUGCAAAUUUAUGUAAAAUUUCCAGAAAAAAUAAAUAAAAACGGACUUUAUUUCUCUCAAUGCAUUUGUUUUGUUUUGUUUUUGUUUUUUUUGUUUUUUUGUUUUUGUUUUUUUUGUAAAUACAUAAUAACAUAUGUAUUUAUUUAUUUAUUCUUUUGUAAUAAAAUUGACUUUCUUUAAUAAAACUUUUAUAUUUUUCUUAUUUAUUUUGAUAUGACUGAACUCGAAAUUGAAUGUUCGAGCCGCCUACGUACCCUUCCAAAGAAGAGAUCAAGCCAUAACGUAGUUCAAAUGAGUGAUGAAUUUAAUAGUGAUUUUGAUGAUGAUUUUGCCGUACACAGUUUAUGCUCUUGUGGGCCAGGAGCUUUGGUGUUGCCUUUUAUGCUCGUGCAGACCAGGAGCGUUGAUGUCGCCUUUUAUGCUCGUGUGGGUCAGGAGCGUUGAUGUUGCCUUUUAUGCUCGUGCAGACCAGGAGCUUUGUGCCAUGCAGUUUAGACUCGUGCGGGCAAGGAGCUUUGGUUCGUGCAGUUUAGGCUCAUGCGAACAAGGAGCAUUGGUUCGUGCAGUUUAGGCUCGUGCGAACAAGGAGCAUUGGUGUUGCCUUUUAUGCUCGUGCAGACCAGGAGCUUUGUGCUAUGCAGUUUAGACUCGUGCGGGUGAGGAGAAUUUGUGAAUUUUGUCAAGCACUUUUGGAGAGGCGUUCCUUACAAUCUUCAUAGCAAGGAGCCUUGACCGAGUGAUUGAAGAAGUCUUCGGGAAAGAAGUCGCACAUCGUGAUGGCAACAGACGAUCUUUGUGUCGUAAUUUCAUCAUCUUCAACACGUUCACGUUGCUUUGAAGGUUGACAAGAGCUGCUUUGCCCCCUUUCCGAUUGGCGGACUUGUGGAGGAGACGUAUGCUUCUUGUGCCAUUUCUUAGGAGUGACUUGAGUCCAUCCUUCAAGUUUGCUUGUUUUGGAGGAUGCCCCCGGCGGUUGAGGUGAAAAUUUUGUGUUGAAAGAGCCAGAAGUGAUGGUGGUAUAGUUUGACUUCACCACAUCGUCAAGAUCUAGCUCGAUGAUUCCUUUCUGAGCCCACUUUAUGAUGAGAUCUUUCAGCACAAAGCACUUUUCUGUCGGAUGACUGAUGAAGCGGUGGAAUUUACAGUAUCUUGGACUGUUGGUACGAUUCAUCUCUUCCGGCCAUCUGCACUCAGGCAAACUGAUCACCUUCUUGUCCAACAGGUCAUCCAACAUGGCAACCACAUCAGAGUCAGGGAAUGGAUAAGUCUUCUCUUUAAGCUCCUUCAAAGUGCGUCUACGCAUCUCUUGAUCACGAAAAGCUUCGGUUUGAAUCGUUUUGCCUCGUGUGGAGAUUUUGACGGGAGAUGUGUUGACUGUCAUUGCUUCCUUGGUGGAUUUCCACGUAGCCUUCUCCACCUUUGUCUCAAGAAUUUUGUCGUUCUUGUAGUCGGCGAUCGGUUCCUUCUUCCCAUGAUGGGUGAUGCUCAACUCCAUGUCAUGGGCGUGGGUGGCCAAUUCCUCGAAGGUCCGUGGUUUAAUGCCUUGAAGGAUGUAUUGCAAACCUCAUUGCAUGCCUUGGAUGCACAUCUCGAUUGAAGAGGUCUCCGAGAGCCUAUCUUUGCAGUCGAGGCUUAGAGUGCGCCAUCUGUUGAUGUAGUCAAUGACCGGCUCAUCUUUCCAUUGCUUCAUACUUGUGAGCUCCAACAUGCUUACAGUGCGGCGGGUGUUGUAGAAGCGGUUGAGGAAUUCCCGCUCCAAUUGCUCCCAGCUGUUGAUGGACUCAGGCUCUAGGUCCGUGUACCACUCAAAUGCGUUUCUUUUCAGCGAGCGCAUAAACUGCUUGGCGAAGUAGUCCCCCUCCGUCCCCGCGUUGUUGCAAGUUUUGACGAAAUGUGCAACGUGCUGCUUUGGGUUUCCUUUUCCAUCAAACUGCAUGAACUUUGGUGGUUGAUAUCCCAUCGGCAUCUUUAGGGCAUCAAUCUUCUUUGAAUAAGGCUUUGAGUACAACCCGGAGGUAUUUGAGCUCCCUUCGUACUAUGCCUUGACGGUGCUGGCAAUCAUCUCUUGCAACUGUUGGAUAGAAAGAGAUCCCAUGAGUGCCGCUUCUUGGUCUGGCUCCGGCUUCACAUCGAUUUUCUCCACCGUAGGCUCAUCUUCUGGGUUAGGGUUCUCGCUGUCCUGUGGCUCCAGUUGACUGAUGAGUGCAGCGAUUUGCAAGUCUUUUUCUUCCACAGUUCGGGUUAGCCUUGCGAUUGCUUCAUUCAUUUGAGCCAGUUGUUCUUCGAUGGAGGUAACGCCGAUGGUCAUGACUUGUGCAACCAAUAGACGUGACUUUCCUUUAGACAUCCAAGAUGCUGAAGAAGAACGUCAUUGGUUGUUUUGGGAUGUCAUCUUGUGUGCCUCAGCAACAUGCUUUGGUGCCCCCAGCGAGGUCAGGUUGAUGACAGACUCACACCUUUGAUGCUCCCUUUGCUCUUUUAGCGGCACCAACUUUGAAGUGGCAUGUUAAGGAGCGGUUGUGGUGCUAAUGGAUUGUCCAUUUGCGGCAGAAGUGCUUAGGAUCCUUCCCUCAGUGAUUGCGAGAACGGCUUGUCCCUUGCUUGAUGCCAUUGAUUUUGAGGUGUGUUUGGAUUCCUUAAACGGAGAAAGAUAUGAGAGGUAGAGAUUGUCCCACCGGGCGUGCCAAUUUGUGAACACGAAAAUUUCCUGAAACGAAAGAGACAAGAACAACGUGCACAAAAUAAUAUUUUGGUGUUAAUGGAUUUGUUGGGUUACGAUCUCUUUUAACUUGAUCCUCUGAUUCGAUCUCCGUAAGGUGUUGAUUUAUGGAUGUUUCGUUGAUCUAAGGGCCGUCGAGGCUUGAUCUUGGAUGAACUGUUGGAAGUUUCUUCAAGGGGCCGUGGGCUUGAUCUUUGAAGGUGGAUUUGAGCGGAUCUUCAAGGAGCCGUUGGGGCUUGAUCUUGAGGAUGAGUGUUUCUUCAAGGGCCGUUAAGGCUUGAUCUUGAAUAACGGUGAUGAACGGAUCUUCAAGGGCUUUUGGGCUUGAUCUUGAAGAACGGUUGGAUGUGUGGAUUUGUUGAUGUUGUUGAUCCAAGGGCCGUCGGGGCUUGAUCUUGGAAGAACGAUGAACGAAGAACGAAGAACACUUUCUUCAAAGGCCGUCGGGGCUUGAUCUUGAAUUGGUGAUUGUUGAUCCAAGGGCCGUCGGGGCUUGAUCUUGGAAGAACGGUGAACGAAGAAUGAAGAACGAAGAACACUUUCUUCAAGGGCCGUCGGGGCUUGAUCUUGAAUUGGUGAUUGUUAAUCAAAGGGCCGUCGGGGCUUGAUCUUGGAAGAACGAUGAACGAAGAACGAAGAAGGCUUUCUUGAUUCUUCGGGAUGAACGGAUGAUGAACAAUGAACACUUUCUUCAAGGGCCAUCGGGGCUUGAUCUUGAAUUGGUGGAAGUUCUUCAGGGCCUUUGGGGCUUGAUCUUGAAGGUGGAUGAUUGUUGAUCCAAGGGCCGUCGGGGCUUGAUCUUGGGAUGAACAGUUGUGUGGAUUUGUUGAACACUUUCUUCAAGGGCCGUCGAUGCUUGAUCUUGAAUUGGUGGAAGUUCGUCAAGGGCCGUUGGGGCUUGAUCUUGAAGAAGGAUUUGACGAAGAACGAAGAGAGCUUUCUUGAUCCUUCGGAAUUUGCUUGAAUUUGGGAGGUUGGAUGCUUGAAAGCUUUAGAGUUUCAAAGCUUCAAGGAUUUUGGAUGUGUGGGGAGUAUUCUCUUACAUUUUGGGAGUAGAGAAAUGUAUUUGUGAAUUGGUUUUUGAUACCUUGAUGUAGAAGCCUAUUUAUAGGCUUUGAGAAUGAAUCACCACCACAAAAUAUUUUUUUCUUUUCCAAGCACCAUUGCCUAAUUUCCCACUUAAUACAAUUUUAAACUUGAAGUGGUAAUUUUAUGGCCUAAUUUUCCACUUAAUAUCAUUUUAAACUUGAUAUGUGCAUGCUUUGUCAUUGCCCAAAAUGAGAAGAAAACCUUGUUUUGAUCUUCAAUGGAUUGAAAUGUGCUUUGCCUUGUCAUUGCCCAAAAUGAGAAGAAAAACUUGUGUAAUCCUCCAAGGGUAUUUCUUUUUAUUUUGUUGAGUCACACACCAUGUGUACAAUUUGUAUGACACGUGGCAUAUGCCAUAUAUGCCUUGACACGUCAAAAUUUUAAUGCGUUGGUGAACAUUUAUUUCACCGCAAUUUCGAUGUCUACAAUUUCAUUUCUUGUGAAUAAUGUUUAUCCUGUGUUCUGUCCAAUCGCGUAUUAAAAAAUGUGUGAAGUUUGGAUUAACCACACUCUUUUAGAAUUUCCUUUAUUUACCACUUUUUGAGAAUUUCCAAUAAGACUGGGUGAGUCUCCGCUGAGAAUUUCCUCAACUAACACCACACUACUUGAGGGAUAAUUUGUUAUAUCUUUGAAUAAAGAAUAAAACAGUUUCCUACUUUUGAAGGUACUAUUAACUUACACUAUAUUUGGAUGAAGGUCAAACUUUAUAAAUUGACAUACACCAAAUUCUUUGUUUGGAUUCAUAAACAUAUAAAUUUAGAAUUUCCGCGUGGAAAAAAAAAAUACUUAGAAUUUGAGACCUCCAAUUCUCAAAUUGAAAGUUUAAAAAUAAUAAAUUCCGUAUUCAAUUCAAUUGUUCUUUUAGGUUAACCAAAUAAGAAAAUUCACAAAUUCUAAAAUAUAAAAUCUCAUCAUUUCAAUUUCCGUCAUUUUAAAAUUCCUUAGUAAUAUUAAAUUUCUUCAUCCAAACAUAGUGUUAAGAAAUUUUUUAAAGAUACACUAUUUACACUCAUUUUUAUUUCUUACACAUUUAUUAACUUUGUCCAUUGAUUUCUUCAAUUCAUUUUGCCAGUUAUACAAAAAUUGAGAACAGUAUUUAUGAAUUAAAAAUACAUUUGUAGAUGUCACUACCAAAUUUUUAUUCCUAAUUCAAGAAAAUCUUAUCCAUAUAUGAUUGCCCUUGCCCACUUUAAAUGGGUGCCAUCACUUUACGAUAGAGCAAUCCUAACCGUCCACCUAGGUAAGCAUAACUGGCGAUGCAUGUCGCAAGGGGACCGCAUUGCACAAUAUAAUUAUACUAGUUGAUAAGACAAGUGAUGUCAAUCAAUAAAUUAUUUCAUUAAAACUUAGUUGUAUGUAUCAUAUGUUGUAAUGUAGGGUGUAUGAUAUGCUGACGCUGUAAAAAAAUGUAACCUUUUUAAUAUUACUCAUAAUAGUAAGACUUACCAGUAUUAGGAUGUUAUCAGUGGAAUGAGAAUCCUCUCCAGAUCUUUUUUGUGAGCUAUUAUUUGUAUUUAAUUUUAAAUAUAAAAAAUUAAAAUAAUUUAUGACGGCAGUGAUUCACAUGAUCUUCACAAAGAGAAUCCAAAUAAUCUUAAUUUAUAUCAGUGUGUCUAGAUAACAUGAUCGAGCCCCUUUACUUUUACCCUAUUUAGUAUUUUACAUUUGAACCUGUAAAUAUUCGAUUUUUCUUUGGUGCAACCGAGCACCAAAUAUAGAUUUUUUUUCACUUUUAUAUAAUGAUAAAUAAAGGGCAAUUGGCAGAUUUGAAUUCCAUUCGGAUUGGUCAAAAAUCAUUUUAAAUUGUUUUAUUUAAAAUUAAACACAUAUAGUACUUAAUAAAAAUUAGUCGUACAAUAUACGAUAAACAGAUAUAAUGUAAGGACCUUUAUGAUCUUCACAAAAAAGAUCCAAAGGUUGUGUAGCUGUUUCAAAAGGAUAAUACUCACUUUUGAUUAGUUCAAUGAAAUUUUAAACAUGUUUUAUUGUUUUAAAAAAUAAUAAACAUAUUUAUUAAUGUUUGUUUUACUUUAAAAAAUAAGCAGCACUUGACAACAUUUGAUUGUGCUAAAUAAAAAAUGAGUGACCACUUAGUACUACAGUCUUAUGAUAUUUUUCUUCAUUUGAAAGUGAGAGGUUUUAAGUUCGAAUCUCGUGGAUGACGAAUUUGAUAUCAAAUUAGAUUGCUCACUAUGUGGCUUAGCCGAACUCUCAUUUCCUUUAAUGUAAAAAUAUUGAUGUAUUCAAAAAAAUAAAAAGUGACUAUAGAGGACACUCAAUCUCAGCUGUAUGAUUAAAUCAGACGGUAAGAAAAAUUCUGCAAGCAUACUCGGUUACAUUAAUUGAAGAAAAAAUGGGUAAAUAUUGGGCACCAACGUUAUAAAUACCCUCCACCAUGCACCCAACUCCCUCACACCAUCACAACCCACGUUACAAAUCCUCCUCCUCAUCAUAACCAUUCUGUUUUCCGCAUAAUAUCCAAAAACCUAUCAUGUCUGAAGAGAAACACCACCGCGGUCUCUUCCACCACCACAAGGAUGAAGACAAACCCUCAGACUACCCUCAGUCUGGCUACUCUGAUGAAGGACGUCCCGGCGGCCUCGGUGGUGGUUACGGCGACACCAAUGAUUAUUCUGGUGAAGGACGUACCGGCGGCCUAGGUGGUGGCUAUGGCGACACCAAUGCUUAUUCUGGUGAAGGACGUCCCGGCGGCUAUGGCGGCUAUAACGAGACCACUGCUUACUCUGAGGAAAGAGUUGAAAGACCCGGCGGUGGCCGGUACAGUGAGACUACUGCGGCAUAUGGCAGCACCACCACUCAUGAAUCUGAACUUGAUUACAAGAAGGAGGAGAAGCACCACAAGCAUCUCGAGCACCUCGGCGAGGCCGGUGUAGCUGCUGCCGGCGCUUUUGCCUUGGUACGUAUUGUAUUUUAACCCACCUCUAUAUAUAUAUAUAUUAGAAUAAUGCUAAUAAGACCAAAUUUUGAAAACUAAAUGAUGUGGUUGUUGAUAAUGAACUUAUUACUCAAGUCUUGAUUAACAUGCUUAUUUUCUAAUAGUGACACAUUAUUUGGUUUAGAAAUUUGGUCUUCCUAACUUUAUCAUUCUCAAAAUUUUCAUGAUUUUGAUAGGGUAAUACGGGAGAUCAAAAUUUCUAAACCAAAUUUGCAAACCAAUAGAUGAUUGGAUUAUUAAUUAAGUAUCGAUUGUUUGUUUCUUAUUAACGACAUAUCAUUUGAUUUACAAUUUAGUUAAAAAAAAUUUAUUCUUUCUGUCAUAUCCUUUUGAAUAUUUGAUCACUUUACUCUUUAUCACUUUACCCUUGAUCACUUUACCCAUACUCUUGCAACCGAAUCACCGUCCUCCUCCUUAACCUUCAUUUUUUUGUCUUACAGUACUCCAAUCUAUCAACUCUGUCCAUUGCAACUUUAAUUGUGAAGAAAAUUAAAGUCCUAUCGUAAAAUUAAUUAGUGAUAUGGAGAGUUGCGCAAUUAUUGAUGGACUAGGUAGGUAAGAUACGGAAUCAAAGUCUACCAUUAACAAUGGACGGAAUUGAUGAACCAUAUAGGUAUGUAAGAUACGGAAUCAAAGUCCUCAUGUAAAUGGUACAGUUGCAAUCAGGAGAAGAAAUGAGUUAACUGAUACCUUCGUAAUAGUUCAUGUAGAGUUUUGAUAUUAUUAAGCCUUAACCACCUGAUCUUAUAUAUACGAGGACAAAUCUAAUCAAAUAUGUGUUAAUUUCAAGGUUUGUUUUACAUUGAUGUGAGAUCGAUGCUAGCAAGAUAUAUAACUUAUGUCAGUUUCUAUAUGAUGUGUGUAGCAUGAGAAGCACAAUGAAAAGAAAGACCCAGAGCAUGCCCACAGGCACAAGAUAGAAGAGGAGAUUGCUGCAGCAGCUGCAGUUGGUUCGGGUGGAUUUGCCUUCCAUGAGCAUCAUGAGAAGAAAGAGACAAAGGAAGAAGAGGAAGAGGCUUAUGGAAAGAAGAAGCACCACCACUUCUAGAUCUAUGUGGAUUGUGGAACAUCAUCUUUUGACUACAUAUGCAAUGUUGUGUUUUUACUAGUUAUCAUGUGGUGUGAUCAGUGAGAGUGUGAUGCUUAAUCUCAACAAUAUCGCUACAAUAGUUGAGUGGUUAAAUGUCCUUUUCAAUUAAUGGGUGCUAUCUGGUUUUCUUUUAGCAUGCCAUCUAUGUAUGUAUGUAUGUAUGUAUGUCAUUGUUAUUGUUCAUAAUAAUACUGUUUACUCGGUGUUUAUUUCCUAGUGGCCACAUCUCAUUUUAAAUGAUUUCUUCAUACCAUUAAUUUUUUAAAUGUAAAGACUCAGUAUCCAUAUAACUACGAAAAUUUUUGACAAAACAAAAACAAGAAAAAAGAAAAGGAAAAAAUGGCUUAGCAAGUUUGUAUCCUAUAAGACAAAUGGGUACGUGGAACGAUGGACAUCUCACAAUGGUUUUUGAAUCGUCGGAUCAUCAUGGUUGGACUAUAUAAUUAUCAUUGAUAUAAUAUAAAUUUUGAUUUUUUUUUAGGAAAUUAAUAUCUGAAAACAAUAUUGAUGUACUGCAUUUGUUUUGGACGAUAUUAUACUUUAAUCCAAAUUUUGAGAAAAAAAAAACAUAUCGAACUCAGGUGUACAAGAGUGGCUUUGCUACCCAUGUACAGGGCUAGUUCUGAGUUUUUGGGUGCCCAGUGCGAAAGCUCAAAAUGUGACAUUUUUUAAUACGAAAACAUAUAUUAAAAAAAAUAUUUAAUGAGGGCUGGAACCCAGUCGAAGCUGGAGGGCUAGGACCUCACGCCCAAAUUAUAUUACUUGAGAAAAUAUACAACUGAGGAGGGGACAUGGUACCUAAACCCCGACAAUCAAAAGUACAAUCAUAUACAACCACUCCUAGCAAAUCUCCUUCAAAUUUCAACCUUUAAGAAAUUGUCUUCUGGCAUUUUUUGAAGCAAAAUCAUCAAUUAUAUCAUCAUACUCCAAGUCUUCAAUCUCAUCAUUUUCAAUGCAUAAGAUUGCUAAUCCAUUUAGCCUAUCUUGAGUCAUAGUGGUCCGCAAGUAAGAUUUUAAUAAUUUCAAUUUUGAAAAACUUCUUUUUGCAGAUGCCAUGGUCACAAGUACAGUUAACAGUACACGAUAAGCAAUCAAGACAUUAGGACACAUGUCAGUUUCUUUUACAAAAUUUGCUAUUUCCAUGGAUGUCCAAGGGUUAUUAGAGAGAAAUGCUUCUUCAGGUAAUAUCAUUUGCAAAACCUGCAAUUCGGAAUAUAAGUCAACUCCAUCUACAUCCAUGGUAUUUCCAUGUUUCAAAUGUGCUUCAAGAUUCAUACAAUUUUCUUUUAGCUCUUGAUCAUCCAAUGAAAUUAACUUUGGUGCAUCAAACAAGAAGCCAAAAAUAGAUUCAAAGGAUUUUAACUGUUCAAACUUGUGUUUCAGUUGAGAAAGAGCAAUAUCCACUAUAACAAGAAAAUAAUAUUUCCUAAAUGAUUCUUUAGCAGAUUAUUGUUCCCUCUCAUUACCAUCAACUUCAUCAUGAUGUCUUUUUCUAGGUCUAUGACAUUUAGUUUGAAAAAACAGGGUCAAUUUCCAAAUCAAGUGCAAUUUCAUUAGCAUCACUCAUGGCGGAAGCAAAACCAGUUUCUCUGUAGUUUCCAAAAAAUGUAACAAAUGCUUCAAAUGCCUUUACAGCAACAUCAAGACGCAUGUCUUUAGAUUGUAAUUUUAUGCUCACCAUGUUAAUCUUCAACAAAAUGUCAUACUAAAUAACCAAACUUAAUACAAAAUCAAAACUUGAAAGUUCGCCUGAUGCUAAACAUCUUGCAUCCCUACUUAAUUGAGGAUUUUCAGUAAUUUCCACCAAUUAAACAAAGCAUUUCUAACCUGGGCUACUUGAGACUUAAUUGCUUUAACAUUUUCAAUGUGACUUUCCCAUCGAGUAGUUGACAAUGACUUCAAAGUUAAACCAUCAAUAUGUUCAACCAAAAUAUUCCAACGCUUUGUAGAGUUGGAAAACACCAUAUAUAUGCAUUGACAUGCUCUAAAAAAAGAUUUUGCUUUAAGACAUGAACUUGCCAUAUCACAAACUAUUAAAUUAAGCUAAUGAAAACCACAUGGCAUGUAAAAGGCUAUGGGAUUUAUGUCUAACAAUCUUUUCUGGACAACUUGGUGUUUCCCUCUCAUGUUAGAUCCAUUAUCAUAACCCUGUCCCCUCAUAUCAUCAAUAUCAAGGUCUAAAAUAUCGAUAUUAUCCCGAUAUUUCUUUCGAAAUUUCUGUGUUUUUGGAUUACCGAUAUUUCCGAUAUCAUCGAUAUUUUAGACCUUGAUAGGAACUCUAUGUGAUACUAAGUCACUCAUGUAUCUUACCAUGCAAUGUAUAAAGUGUAAAAUAUUGUAUUAAUUCAUUAUAUAUAAAUGAUUAUGGUGUGUUUAACUUCUUUCAUUAAUUACUACAUAUUUUCUACACUCAAAAUGUUUGUCAGCUCACUAUAUAAUCAACUUAAAUAAGUUAAAUCCAUCAUGAAAUGCAUUUCGUUCCAAUUUUUUGUAAUAAACUAGUAGAUAAUUGACUAAAUAAACAUCCUGCAAAGUUUCAAUAAAAAUUUCCAAGUUUUUCUUAUAAUUUCCGUGGUUUUUAUUCAAUUUUUAUCGAUAUCGAUAAUAUCCCGAUAUUUCCAUCAAAAUUUCCGUAUUUUUGGACUAUCAAUAUUUUCGAUAUCAUUGAUAUUUUAGACCUUGAUCAAUAUCAAGAUCAAGAGAUUUUAGGACAUCUUGCAGCUCGUUAAAAAGCCCUUGUCCUAAUGUAUCUUUCACACUUAAAAACUCCAUGAAAUACUCCCUUAUAUUUAUUGACCUACUUGACAAGUCAACACAUCACAAAAUUAAAGUCAUCUGUUCCACAUGACUUGCAUUAGGAGUACAAUCAAGAAUGACAAAAAAAAAUUUGGCUUCUUUUACUUUUUUAAUGAUUGCGGUUUUGACUUUUGAAGCUAAAGUAGCUAUCAACUCAUUUUUGUUGGAAAUGUGCCCUAAAACCAAUCAUAUGAUGAUACUUUACGAACGUUUCACAUGUUAAACUAAUAUAGUUUAAUAUAAAGGGCAAAAAUUAUUGUUUGUAGCCGUCUCAUAUAAAUGUUAUACGCUUAAACGAUAAGUCCAAGGAAUAUGUAAUUGGGAGAAUGCGAUCUAAAGAAGUUAGAUUCAUGAGACCAUUCUCUUCCGUAUACAUAUCCUAAACGUUACUGAUCAUAGGAUUGUCAAUUGGGCAUUGAUAGUCUGUUAAGAUCAGUACGUGUUAUGUCUUCUCUUAAGGAGAGUGACUGGUCUCGAGUCAUUGGUGUGACUGACACCAAGACAAGCAUGUAGGUGCUCAAUAGAGAAUGAGUCCACUGAACACGAUCAACAAGGAGUUCUCAUACUCAUGUCACAUGAGAACUCGUGGUUGGAAUAAUGCAAAGUAGUCAUUUGACCUGAGGCAUCAUAGUUGUCUUGUGGUUAGGUCCUUGAUCUUUGACUAUGUCAAAGUCACUCCGUCAGAGGGUGUCCAUUGCAUAGUUGGGGUUAAGCCACUUAGCCAUGGAGGCAAGUGAAUGCACAAUAAGGGAUCUCUAACCUUCAAACUAUUUGAGGGAGAAUACUCUAUGAUAUGAUUAAGAAUCUCUGGCCAGAGUAUGAAUGAUAUUUAAGAAGUCGUUCCAAAUCACAUUCAAGGUAAUCAUAUAAGUAAGAGAAUCACAUUGGAUAGUAGACAUGAAUAAACUAUCAAACCAAACAAUGUGGUCAAGAGUAUUGUAUUAGAGUAAGACCGUAUUGCAUUGUAAUCCUAAACUAAAUAGGUUCUCCACCUCUUCUGAUCAGCUUGGGUAACCAUGACAUACUGCUAGGUGUUACUCAUGAUUUGUGGAAGCCCUAAACGUGUAUAAUCACUAAAGGGAGAAUUGAAAGUAAGUUUCAAUUUACAAUCGAUUUGAAAGAGUUCUAAUCGCUCACUGCCUCGCUAAAAGGAACCUAAUGGAUCGUACACCGUGUAAGGUAGAGAUUGAAAAAACAACGGAGAUAAGUAAGGACAAUUAAAUGGUUUAAUUGUUUAUGACAAGAAUUAAUUAAUAUGUUAAUUAAUCAAACGAAUAAGUUCGGGUUAAACCUUGAGUUAGUUUUGGGCAUUAAAGCCCAAAUUGGGCUUCGAAUCUUCAAACCCAUUAGCUUAAGUUGUAUGACAACUUAACAAACAAAAUUCAAGAAGCCCAAAACAGCCCAAAGGCUUGGGAAAACCAGCCAUAUAGAGAGGGGUAGUGAACUUGGCUUAAUUGCAAGUUUGCCAUUCCAUUGUGAGGUGGUAUAAAGGCAACUUUAUAGCCAUUUCAUCCUUAGGGUUUCUUUUGGAGAAAAGAUGAGAACACAAGCUCCCUUUUCUCUCUAAGAGGCUGGCCACCCUAGAGGAUUUUAGCUAGCAAUCUUACUUCCUCUAGGUCACUCAUCUCUUCUUCAAGUCAUUCCUUGGUGUGGAGACUUAGAGGUUCCUUUCAACCAUCUUCAUCCAAGAAAUCCAUGGAGCUAAGAAGCAAGGAAUGAAGGCCCUCGCCUUGGGUGAUUAGCCUUUGCUUAUGCAAAGAGGAAUCAACAAAGGUAUAAAAUUUCUCAACUCACUUUGUUCUUGAGUUGAGUCUUGGUUCACAUAACUACUAGGCUUUGAAUUUCAUGGGUAAUGUUUUGUUUUGAGUGCAUACAAGCAUGAUUCCGCCUUUAAUUGUUAAUUGCAUGCCAUAGAUGUUGCUCAAAUGAACAUGUUUCUCACAAAAUUUCCUUCAAUUUUGAAUUUUAUGGCUCAAAUAGUGAUGAUGAAUCUCUUUAUUCUCAAUAAGUCGAAAAUGCUAUUGCAUUAUUGGAUCAAACUCCGCAUUCAUUUCAAGUAAACCUAAGAAGUUGCCAUUAGAGUCUUCAUAAAGUCUUUCAUUUGUUCCACGAAAUGCUAAAUUACGUAUGGCAAGACAUUUCAUAACAUCAAUAAUUCUAAGCAUCACUUGUUUCCAAUGAUUUGGCUCUUUCUUGAUUUGCAUUUGAAAUUCUUUGUCAAUUGUCUGAUUUUUUGUCAAUCUACUUUUCAACUCAACCCAAGUUCUCGAAUUAAUGAGAUGCUCUUUACUCUUUUCAUAUUGGUCAAGCUUCUUACCAAGAUGUCUCCAAUCACUAGUUCCAUCUUUUGCUAACUCACUUUUUGAGGCAAUUAUUUUAAACAAUUUACAACAAAAGCAAAAGACUUUAUCCAACUCUUUUGAGUACACGAGCCAUUUCCUAUCGUAAAUUUUACCCGUUCGUAAUUUUCGAUCAUAGUAGUGUGAGGAAAAUUUUCUAGAGAAUUUGUCCUUAGGAUAAGUGAAUUAGUUUCUCAAAUUGGUCCUUUUUCUACAAGUAAGUCUCUCAUUUUUGCAUUAAGACCAUCCCAAACUAUUGGAUCAUAAAUGUCUAAAUGAAAAAUAGGUUCAAGAGAUUCAAUAUUUUCUUCUACACCAAAAUGAUCAUCAUCAACAUUUAAAUCCACAUCACCACCAUUUUCAUGAUCUUGAGACUCAUCACCAACAUUUUCCUCUAAAUCACCACAAUUUUCUUGGUCAUGAGACUCGUCAUUAACAUCUUUCUCCACAUAACCACAAAUUUCAUCAUCAUGAGACUCCCCAACAAUAUUUUGUGACUCUUCACCAACAUCAUUUUCUCUCAAAUUUUCAACCGACUCAUUCUUUAUAGAAUUUUUUUUAUUAAGAGAUCCUCUUAAACUUUAGGCAAUUUCGUUAUCCUUUGCCUUUUUUUUCCUUUUCAUAUUACUAGAGAGUUAUUUUCUAAAAGACAUGGCUUUGAUAAUUUGUUUGCAAAAAUUACCUACAUAUGAUAUAACAAAAAUUUCCUAUUAAAAUUAUCAUCAACAAUUCAAAAAUUACCUACACAUGAUAAUCAAGAAUUCAAUUCAUCAACAACAACAAUUCUAUACAUCAAUUAUCAUAUAAUUCUGUCACUUGCAAAAUUUAUAUUAAAUUAUGAAUUAAUAAUUCAAAUUAAAAAAUUAGUUUACCUCAAAACUCAAAAGGGUUGUUGAAUGCAAGGACUUGUGGGCCUGUGGCUGUCGGGUUUGGAAGCUGUAGCCUGCAGCAGCGCAACAAAUUAUCAGACGGUAAGGGCUAGGGCAGUGGGGUAACAAUGGGGUGGGGAAUCGGGAAAAAGGGGAACUUAGGGUUAAUUGGGGGGGGGGGGGGCGGGGACGAGUGGUCCCCUUGUGUUGUUAUUUUUUAUUUUUUUAAUGGCCAAAACCUGGGCUGGUCUUUUUUUUUUAAUUUUUUUAUUAUUUAUAAAUGCCCAAAACCUGGGCCGUUCCCUUCAUUUUCAAACUUGGGCCUCUUGCCCUCUAGUUCUUAUUUUGGGCUCUGGACAAAUUUUUUUUAUACCUAAUUAUUUGGACUUUUUUUUUGGUGCCCCUUUCAAUUUUGGGCCUUGGAAUGGCCCUGGUUGCACUGGGCCUGGGCCGGGCCUGCCCAUGUAUAUGUUAUCUUGUGAUUUGACAAGUCAUAUGUAUAUCAUAUCAAUUUUAUCUCAAUUGUGGUGAUGGUACAUAAUACUUACUACAUCGUAUGGCAACAAAUAAAUAUGGGCAUAAAGAUAAAUAGAAUGGUAUCAGUAAAUUAAGGUCUUCACAUUACGAUUAUAUUUAUCUCUAUUUUUAGUGGAAAGUUUUAAGGAUAAUUUUUUUUCUGCCUCCUACAUGGGUCUCGAUUCUCCUCUACGGUAAAAAUCCGUAUGUUUUAAAUAUUGAAAAGUUAAUUUAGCCCAAAUCCUUGCCUAUUUUAGGGAAAAUAAAAAAAAUUCAUUUUUAACCCUUUGAUUACUUAUAUCACCUAGUAUAACCUUUUUUUUUGUGUGAUACAAACAAAUAUUUUUGUUUGGGCCCAAAAUAUUAUUUUAGGCUGAGCUUAGGUCAUUCUCGGCCUAGUGGCAUUCAUUUAGAAUUUUGUUAUGGGCCGUCCAGUUAAGGUCAGCCGAAUCCUAUUAUGAAAAGGUUUGGUUUGGAUAAGGGUGAGUUGGUCGAUACUAGUGCAACAAGGAUUCUGAAGACUAAGGACAUUGAGAAUUAAAGGGUGAAUUUGGUUUGUUAAGAAGCUUGGUUCAAAGUCCUACAGGAAUUAGGAUUGGUUGAAACCUGAUCGGAUUGGGUUGAGGAGUUCUAAUCCUAGUCCAUUUCUAGUUCGGCUAUGAGGGGAUUCAUUAUUAUAAAUAGAGAAGGGAGUGCAUCAUUCAAAGCCCCUCCAAUUCAACACACAAAUUGCCUUGUGCAAAGCUUCUCAACAACCUUUGAGAUUUUAUCCACUUCCUCUUUCUUUUGCCAACACAUCUUCAGUUUGGAUAAAUAGCACUGUGAAGGCAACCGUCGACAUCUUCAGUUUGGAUAGACUGCACUAGAGCCGUAAAAUUAGCCGACCAAGGAGCACCUUUAGUUUGGAUGGACAACACUGCUUUGAGGCCGACUGGCUAUUUAUUCAAGUCUCGGCUGAGAAGGAUUUUCAAAUCCUUGUUGGUAGAGGUCAUCUCGUCAGCCUUCUCGGCAAAGUGAGGUGUUACAGGUUUCUGGGCUCGGCACAUUGAACGUUGAGUUUUGUUUUAUGAUUAGAUACUCACAAGUAAGUUUUAGAGUUUGGCAUUCCGAUGGCCGAAUCACAUUUACAAUCAAGAUAUAUAUUUCUUUCGAGUAUUUGUGUCUGUAUAGUUUGGUACCAGUUCGGCAUGCUUAUACUCUCACGAAUAUAAUCACUAUGAUCGAACCUGAUGCCGAUGAUUUGUGAACUUCAUAGAACUAGCAACCUUGUCUUCAGGCAUUAUAAUCCAAAGGCCGAGACAUGUUCCUUCAUCGAUCGCAGUCGUAAGAUCGAGAAGUCAGCAGCGCGCCCAACGAGACAUCAACACAUUCUAUUCCUCGACCGAGUUGGCACGCCCUGCACAUAACUGAAGGACGUAGUUAGCUUAUUAGUUACUCAGCCUAUGCGUCACGUAGGCUUCAUAGUUUUUAGUGUCAACAUUUUGGCAUGCCCAGUGGAACCCAGUGUUAAAGCUACGAAGUUCAUGACCAUUGAGACACGGUCAGUAAAAAAGAAACCAGUAAUGGGAAAGUUGACAACUAAUCUUCCAGUCUAAAACUCAUGACAAGAUGGGUUGUUAUAGACACAGAUUCAUGCUGCUGCCAUGACACCUGAAGCCACAAGUGCGACAUGCCGAGAAAAGGAAGUGAAUCUUGGCAAUCAGCCUUGUGGUGCAGAAAUCCCCACCAAAACGACAAAAGGCAUUUUUGUUGAAGGAAUAGUGGAUGAUUAUGACGAGGACGGUGGUAAGGCCUCUGAUCCACCAACCAGGUCGUUUUUUCGACGACGACUUGAAGAGUAAUCUUGACAACUUGAGCAGAUGUUCAGCCGAGAGAUAAAAAAACAUAUUUAAAGAAAUGCGUGAUAAUAUCGCUGUACAUAAUUUAUUGCUCGAAGUUCUGGUUAGUAAAGUCCAUGACAUUGGACCCACCAAUCGAUCCAGGCAUCAUUUUUUCAGGAAUAACCCACUACCAAUAGUACAGGUCGAGACAUAAUCCACUUGGCUCAAAAUGAUUAACUUACAGAAAAGUGGUGGGUUAAUCAGCAGAUCAAACGGAUUCGACCAGAGAGCGGAAACGACAUAUGUUGAUAUGGUUGAAGUUUAGAGAAUGAUUGAUUCGGCCUUGAAAAAUGGGCCAAAGUUUCCAAAAUUCAUUCACCCAUAUCCUGCCUUUGUAGAAAAGUUUGAGUACCCAAAGGGGUUCAAGAUCUCUGACUUCAGCCUUUUCGUUGAAGAGUCGUCCCUAUUGUCAUUAAACACGUGGCUCAAUUCACUGCUCAAUGUGGGGACGUUAACAGUGAUUUCCAUAAGCUACGAUUGUUCAAUUUCUCGUUAACCAGCUCAGCAUUCGCAUAUUAUAUCAACCUCUCACCCAACUCUAUCCAAAGUCAGGAGGAACUGGUCGAGAAAUUUCAUGAGCAAUUCUAUCGACUGGGGAUGGACGUAUUAGUAUCUUCUUGGGCUAGGAUGGCUCAAGCCUCUGAUGAGUCACCAAUGGAAUACUUUACAAGGUUUAAGUUGGCCAGAAAUUGGUGUCGAGUACCUCUUCCUGAAGUCGAGUAGGCUUGCCCUGAAUGGCUUAGACGUGGAGUACAAGAAGAAAUUCUUAAGGGCAUACUUUCGAGAUAUGUACGAAUUGGCUCAGCAUGUCGAGCAAUAUGAUUAUUUUCUCUGAGAGGAAAAGAUCUCGAAGUUUUCAUCCCGAGGAACGAUCUACAAGAACUUUACGGUUAGCUAUGCAUCGGCCAAAGGCGAGGAGUCCCAAUAUGCUAGUAUAGACGUGGCCAAGAUAUUAAUCGACAAACUGUACAUAUGUAAAACAUUGGCUCAUGCUACCUGUUCAGCCUUUGAGGAAGCUGCCGUCAAAACGUUAAAAGUCUAUACUUUCGACAUCACUAAGGCUGAUGCCAUCUUUGACCAGUUAUUGCUUGCAAAAAUUGUCAAGCUUCAGCCAGGGCAUAAUAUUCCAAAGGUCAAGGACUUAAAAGGAAAGACAUAUUACAAAUACCACAACUCGAACAAGCAUACGACAAACAACUGUGUCGUAUUUCGCGAUGCCAUUCGAAACUGGAUAGAUAACGGUAAGCUUAAAUUUCCUGAGAAACCAAUGGUCAUUGACACCAAUCCUUUCCCUAUGACAACGGUAAGCAUGGUAGAUGCUCACCUACACAAGGAUAAGAGAAAAGGAAAAGCCGAGUUCAUCCCAACGCAAUACGUCCCUAAGCAGAAUUCUCGAUCACAAUUGAAAGUCAAUCUAUCCUUGGGUGAGCCACCCAGAUACUUUUCAAACCCAACUAAUACCGAGUCAAUAUCAAACUCCAGCACGGGAGAAAGUGACAUGCCAAUGGUUUUAUGCAGUUGGUGUAAAUCAAACGUCAUCAUAACUAAGCUGAAGGAAAAGCCACUUCGGACUGAAGCACCACUAACGCCUGUAGUUGUAGCAACACCUCAAAAAGUGCUUGGUACAGACCAACACCAUAAAGUUUUUGAUAGGCUCAGCCCUCAAACACGGAAUGACGGCCCGUCUUCGGCCCGAUAAUGACUUAAUUUCGACGUUUCGUUUUAUAAUGAAGAGUAUUAUGUGUGCAACUCCAGCAACUCGAGUUCAUCCGCGAACCAAAGAAACUUCAAGUCACCUGAGCCAUGCGACUAGUGUUGGUAUACCUACAAUUCCCUACCGAUGUAUAUAUUGCAUUGUCCAAAUCGUAGAAACAUCAGCGCCAAAUAAUGGACUAUAUGGCUCGCCAAUGAGCAGCCCAGACUACCUCGGUCACCAAGUGGCAACUGAAAGAAACGGUAGAUAACGAAGAUGAUUGACAACCUUCGGCCAUCAUGGUUGAGUUGCUUCAAGGAAAGAAAGUGAUCGAUCGUGACUUUGAAACCAUGAUUGAAGAAUCUGAAAAGUGAAUCAAACUCUUUCUUCGGCCUAGGGAGAUGAAAGCUUGCCUCGAGCACUUUCGGAAAGAAGUUGAAAACAAACUUCCUUUACUACCCUCGCAAGAGCCAUUAAUUAAAGUUCGAAGGAAUCUUCACCCGCCAUUUCUUAACAAAGCUUUAGAAUACAUGCAAGAGUUCCAUAUAAAAACAUUCAGCUAAUGGUUAAUAUUGCAUGCCAAAAGCAUGCCAAGAGGCUCUUGAUCUAGUAUUAACUUGCCCCGAUGCCGAACAAAUCAUCCAAAAGACCAUGGAUCAGAGGAUGAAGGCUAGAAUCCAGCAUAUACUCGAGGCUUGAGUUCUCUACUUUGAGGUAGACCCAUAUACUGAUAUCGAUCCAACCGACCUUCCUUUCUCCCUUAAGGACCUCCAAUAUUUACUGUAUCAUUUUGAAAUUUUCUCGGCAGUUGCCCUCUUUAAUCUUACGACUGAUGAGAAAGAACGUAUGGCGUGAUUAGAUGCUUACUUAGACACAAGAGACGCCCGCAUCGUAUAUCAGGAGCGGACUCACAAGGCUUCACAAGAGCAACACCAAGUCCCCACGUUGAGCGAGCCUAAAGUUGAUGGUCAGAACGAAAUGGGUUUGGUGGAUGCACUGUAGGGACGGGUUCUCUUAGCUGCCGGAGAGGAUCAGCCAGAUAAUGCCCAUAAGCAAAAUACUUCGCCUGAAAAUCUAGAAGACAAAGAUCACGACCCAAUGGGUUCUUCGGUCCUUGAUAACACGGAAAUCAACAUGGUCCAUGUCUUACCUGCCGAGUUCUAGCUAAUUACAUCUCAACCAAACUUUAUGGACGACGUCAAAGUCGCCGAGGAAGCCGCACAAGUCGAUUUUUUGGCCACCGAAGAGAUCGAGCAAGUAAGCAAAGAAGAUAAACUUAAGGCAGCUCUUGCCAAUUUGUUCCCCCGCUAUUCGUCAGUUAAUUUUCAUCAUUUAAAGCCAUUGUAUGUUAUAGCUCGUAUUGAAGGAUAUCUGGUUUCUAAAAUUUUUGUCGACUACGAAGCAACGGUCAACAUCAUGCCCGUUUCUAUCAUGAAGGCAUUACGUCGCUUUAGCAACGAACUCAUUCCAUUAGGGGUAACCAUGAGCAGCUUUGUCGAUGACAAGUCCUAAACCAAAGGAGUGCUUCUUUUAGAGGUAAAUAUCGCAUGUCGCAAUCACAUGACCGAGUUUCUCAUAGUUGAUUUAAAGACUGAGUAUAAUUCCUUGCUUGGUUGUGAUUGGAUCCACCAAACAAGCUGUAUCCCUUCGUCAUUAUAUCAAGUCUCAUCUUUUGGGAUGACAAAUCAGUCGUGGUUCAUCCAGCCAACAAUCAGUUGUUUGAAGCUAAUAUAAUUUAGGCUCGUUAUUACAAUGAUCACAUCGGCUACAUCACCAUAUAAGGUUUUAAAGGGGAAGGACGGCCAACUUGAAUCUUAAUUUAGAAAGCCAUUGAGGUUGGAAAACAUUGUGACAAGAUUCGGCGUACCAAAAAUAAUUAUAACAGAUAACGGCAUAAUUUUUACAGCCGACAAGUUUAAAGAAUACGCAGCGAGUCUAAAAAUUCAGCUCAAUUAGUCCACGCCAUAUUACCCAUAAUCAAAUGGACAGAUCGGAGCAAGUAAUAAAGUUUUAAUCGGUAUACUUGACAAAAUGAUAAAAGAAAAGCCUGGUAUGUGGCAUUUGAAGUUAAACGAGGCAUUAUGGGCAUAUCGAACUUCACUCUGAUCAGCAACAGGGAUGACCCCAUAUGCGUUGACUUAUGGGCACGACGCGAUGCUACCGGUCGAGCUAAGCAUAAACUCGUUAUGAGUUAUCGAACAAAGUAGUUUAUUCAGUGCCGAGUACAGUCAGGCCAUGAGGUAAGAGUUGGAGGACUUGGAGGAAGCUCGGCUCGAUGCCUAUAACUUACUGGUGGUGCAUAAAAAGAUUACCGAACGAGCUUAUAAUCGAUGAGUUAGGCAAAAGACGUUCGGUGAAGGUGAAUUAGUAUGGCAAACCAUGUUACCAGUAGGGAUUAAAGACCUUAGAUUUGGGAAAUGGUUGCUGAAUUGGGAAGGACCAUUCGUCAUCCACAAGGUUCUUGGCAAGGGGGAAUACCACUUGAAAAAGUAUUAUUCGAUUACUUGGGAAAUGCAAGAAUAAAGAAUUUAUUUCAUUGAUUUUCAAAGGACAUUUACAAGCAAAAUUACAAAGAGUCGAUCGGCCUACAACUACAACUAAAGACAAAAGUCCUAAAGAGUCGAAGGAAGAAAAGCUUCAAAAGUGGCUUUCAGUUCUAGCCAUCUUACUUCGCCCAUCGUGACCUCAGCCUGUCUUGUUCUUUUGUCAAGUUGUAGUUGAUGUAUCUGCUUCGAGCUAGCUGCAUACUCUGCCAGUCGAGGUUUAUUCGAAUUGAAAUCUAUUUCAAGCUCGGAAGCAACGGCUGACCUUUGACGUGGAAGUUUAGUGAUUUGGCGGUCAAGAUCGGCCAGCCGCUCACUCUUUGCUUUUAUGGCCUCGAGCUCUGGUCGGAUAGCUUCAUGAACGACCAUUGAAGCCUUGAGGUCAUCUUCUGCCUAAAGAGCCCCAUCAAAAAUAGCGAAGUAUUGUCGGGUUCGUUUUAGGAUAUAAGAUAGGUGAACGACAUUCUCAUUGCUUAGAAUGCCAUCGUUUACAAGGUCGUUCAUACAUUCUUCUAUAGAAUCGAGGCCUUUGUAUUCAAGGAUUUGCAUGGCUGAGAUAGACAAAAGCUCAUGCAGCUUGGCGAAGACACUGGACACGGCCGCGAUUGCAAAAGACUAGAUCGCGGUUGUUGAAGGCCUAGUCACCCCAGAAGUGUUUGAGAGGAGGGUGUCAAGCUUGACUUUCCAUGAAGGCUGCAUAAAAAGAGUUGUUAGAAAAGAGAAGUUAAAAGGACGGUAGAUAAGGACGUUGUGUUAGACCUACCGAGAAAAGACUUCGGCCAUGUCUGUUGGUUCGUUACUCGAACCGAGAGAGCUUAAUGGCCGAGCCUAGUGUUUAAGGCAACCUUUUAAUUCAUGUGGCCGAUAAAGGUUAUCUAUGUUUGAUGGCUAUUGGGAUGGCCAAGAAAUAUAAAUAACGCCAUUUGGCGCAUAGAAUUUUUGGAGAAAUGAGUAAUUAGGCACCUGGCAGUUAAUAUUUUCUUGGUUUAGAAUUCUAAAGCAAAAAAUUAAUAAAAGAAAAUGAUGACGAGUCUUACAAAGGUCGAAGUAACCUCCUGAAGAGGAAUGUCGAAAUUCUGGUCUUGAGGAUGAACCAACGUCUUUACCAUUGCUUCUGCCUCGACAGGAGGCACCGCUUCAUGUCCUGCACCUAUUUCAGUUGCAAAAGUGUCGACCUGGCCAGCCAUCUCAACUAUCGGUUGAGGAUUGGUGGUUGGUAGUUCAGCUGGUUGAGAGCGCCUCACCAACGGGGGUACUUCAUUCUCGUCAUCCUAUACAUAAAAGAGGAUUGGUCGUUAGUUGAGAGAUAUAGUCAAAAUAAAAGGAGAACAUUAGUAAAAAUGGUCAUACCUAUUCUUCCACAAUGAUUAUUGGAGUCUUCUUUAGAUUUGGCGGAGGGUUUCUCUCGGCUGUGGUGGCCUCAUUCUCCAAAGCAGUAGCUGCCACGCUAACACCAAGAAUAACGGCCGGCCUCGGGGUUGGAAAACCCUUGACUAAUGGGUUGAUGAUGGGUUCAACAACAGCCAGCAUAAUGGGUUGGAUCUUAGUUGAUUGAUCUGUCAGAGGAUUUUGCGGUACUCCAAUCGAGGCCUGGACGACAUGAGAAUGGAGAAGGGCACUAGGAGUGGUUGUUCCCGUGGUUUGACUCGAAAUGACAUAUAUCUCCCGUUCUUCAUUCUUUUCCUUUUUCUUGAGGCACUUUUGGGACCGGGCAAUGUUGCCAGUCGUCUCGACCUUUGGGCGAGGCCGUUUGCUCGGUGCGGUCGGUGCAAUAGGGGCUGCUGCAGAAGUUGGUUUGACUGAAGGAUGAGCGAGUUUCUUUUUAGUCGCGACCAUCGUAACCACAUUGACUCGUUUUAUGGCACGACCACUUGGAAAAACUGAGUUUAAGUCAGAACGAUGUUCAAAUUGAAUAAACAAACAAGGGAAGUAAAAGAUAUAUACCUUUAGUUGUUUCUUUGGAUUUUGGGACGAGUCUUCCUCGGUCGGUCGUCGAAAAGCUUCUUUGAAAUUUCCUCGACUGAAGUACUGAAGAAGUCCUUGACGUAAGCAUCUCACCAAUCGGCGAAGAUGCUAAUGCAAUGGGUUUUUGGGGUAAUCAGCCGAAGAUAGAAAUUGGUGCAUCGCUCUAAGAAUUCCCUCUCGGAUUCAUCACAUUCCCUUUAUGAGGAGCUGAAGAGGCGUUCUCGGCUCAAGGGUGAGCGGGAAGUGAGGAGUGGCAUAGGAUAGGCCUGGACAUAGCUCAGUGGAUAGGCCAUGAAGUCAGGAUGGCAAAUCUCCUAGCUGGCCCAUCGAGCAUCACAACCAAAUGGAAUGUCACGAGCUAGAACAAAUGAUCCAUAUGAUUGUCGGAGAUCAGCGUCUUCUGCUUCUUCCCACACCAAUGUAGGGAGCCUGAUGGAAGACAAAUAUUUCUGGCGGUGGCAGACCAGAAACUCGUCGUUCAACAAGUCUUCAAGGUCGAAGAAGUACUUGAAGACAUCUUCGGCCAAUGGGCAGGAGUAGGGUGUGAGGACAGUUGAAGGCUCAUUGCUUUGGAAGAAUUGAAGUGUAGGAUUUUUGGCCUCAAUGUGUAGAAGUAAACCUGCAACCAUAGUUGAAAGACUCAAAGUGGGCCGUUCUGGUGUGGGUUGAUUUUCCCGACGGAAACCUCAGCCAAGCAUCGAGAAAGGUUGGCAAUGAUGGUCGAGCUGAAGGGCAGGACGUGGCCACUAGCUAGCGCUUCAGCCACUAGCACAUUCUUGGCCAGGCACUUGUACGACUUGGUACAAAAGAUGAACUUAUUGUACUACUAGAACGAGAAGGUCUCGUGUUCCCCCUUCUUGAGAGCUUCCCCCUCCGAGCCAGCGAAGUGGGUGAUCAGGGUGCUAUAAUUGAAGAAGUUCUUGUGCAGCUUAUAUACAUCUUUUUUUCAACGGCUCCUGACCAUCCUUCAUCAAAGCUUCGACGACAUGUUCGUCAAAGACCGCCUUUAGAUCUAGGUCGAAUUGAUAUCGAAAAAGGGUGGUAUCAACUGAAAGACCAGAAAGGGGAGUGCCAAGUAUAGCCGUGACAUCCAGCAUUGUUGGGCCAAUGGGGCCAAGAGGAAGGACCAUAAUGUUGGUGGCCAAACACUAGAAACUCAGGGUGGCCAUUAGGAGUUCUCGAUCCAUGUUGAUCUCAAUGGUUGAUAGCUUAAUGGCAUCAAAGUUACUGAGAAUCUUCCAAUCGCCCCUGAAGUGUGGCUCCAUCCGGGUAGGGGUGGGUACUUGGAAUCAAAAAUCAAAACCGAAACACGAAUCGAAUCAGACCGCACCGAACAGUUUGGUUUUGUGAUUUUGAAACGGUUACGGUUUCAAAACCAAACCGCAGCAAAGAAAACGAUUUGGUUUCGGUUUUGGGGUUUCAAAACCGCACCGAAACCAAAACCGAAAUCGAAACCGCACCAUAUAUUGAAUAUUGAAUGUUAUGUUUUAAUCUAUUGUUUUGUGCAGCUCCAAUCUGAGUUUUUCAUGGCAGUAGGGCUCCCAGGCUCACAUUGCUCUCAUAAUCACUUUGCUUGUUAUGUGUAGCCCCAUUGCAGUAAAUUUUAAUACCGCGGGGCUCCUAUACAAUCUGUGAUACAAACCAACAUGAUAUUCUUAAAUUAGUAAUAAAAUUGACAACGAAUUUUUCUUACUUUGAUGAGAUAUGUAUGAAAUAUUCUGGGAAAAAAUGUACAUGCUAACUCUUGGAUAAUAACUACAAUGAGCGAUGGAAAAUACAUCCAUUUGUAUGCCAUUUAUUACCAAGGAAGUUGCAGAUAAUCGAGGCUAACAUUCUCAAGAGAAUGCUAAGUUGGUAACACAACAGGAAGUAGGUGGGAAAGAAAUACUUACCAGCUAGAGUAAGUCCCUAGGUGGACAAGGCAUAGAAUAAAUUGUACAUUUUUUUUCUCAAAAACCAAACCAAAACCGUUUGAAACCACACCGAACUGAACCAAACGGUUUGGUUUCAUUUUGGUUUUGGCUUCAAAACCGCACCGAACUGCACCGCAAAGAGUUUCGGUUUCGGUUGCGGUUUCACUUGAAACCGCACCGAACCGUACCGUGCCCACCCUUACAUCCGAGUGACCCAAGCAGCCCAGACCGUGAGGGUUGAUGGCCAACUCCCUAGGGUUUGGUCAAUUCCCACUUCGACCAAUCGUAUCCUUGAAAUAGGGGUUCAAGGCAAUGCGUCUUCAACAUCUUGGUGAUUGAUUCUGGGAUGUUUUCCUUGAAAAGUGGUCCCAGAGUUUGGUGGAAAACACUUGAAUCAUCCUCACACCGGAGGGAUUCGAUGGCAUUCUGGUUAAUAAAGUCUCAACAGUUGUCGCAUUCCUCGGCGAGCUUGGUGAUAUGUUAGAGGUUUAUUUUGCUUCUUCAAGGUUGACGCUCAGCUUAGAUUUGUAGGCCGAAUACCUUAGAAGCGAGGGGGCAAUGUUUGGGCCCAAAAUAUUAUUUUGGGCCGAGCUUAGGUCAUUCUCGGCCUAAUGGCAUUCAUUUAGAAUCUUGUUAUGGGCCAUCUAGUUAAGGUCAGCCGAAUCCUAUUACGAAAAGGUUUGGUUUGGAUAAGGGUGAGUUGGUUGAAUCCUAGUGCAACAAAGAUUCUUAAAGCUAAGGACACUGAGAAUUAGGGGGUGAAUCUGGUUUGUUAAGAAGCUUGGUUCAAAGCCUACAGGAAUUAAGAUUGGUUGAAACUUGAUCGGAUUGGGUUGAGGAGUUCUAAUCCUAGUCCAUUUCUAGUUUGGCCAUGAGAGGAUUCGCUAUUAUAAAUAGAGGAGAUAGUGCAUCAUUCAAAGCUCCUCCAAUUCAACACACAAAUUGCCUUGUGCAAAGCUUCUCAACAACCUUUGAGAUUUUAUCCCCUUCCCCUUUCUUUUACCAACACAUCUUCAGUUUGGAUAAACAGUACUGUGAAGGCAACCGAUGACAUCUUCAGUUUGGAUAGACAACACUGUAGCCGUAUAAUUAGCCGACCGAGGAGCACUUUCAGUUUGGAUAGACAACACUGCUUCGAAGCCGACUGGUAAUUUAUCCAAGUCUCGGCUGAUAAGGAUUUUCGAAACCUUGUUAGCAGAGGUCAUCUCAUUAGCCUUCUCGGCGAAGUAAGGUGUUACAUGUUUCUAGGCUUGGCACAUUGAACGUCGAGUUUUGUUUUAUGAUUGGAUACUCGUAAGUAAGUUUCAGAGUUCAGCAUUCCGAUAGCCGAACCACAUUUAAAAUCAAGACAUAUAUUUCUUUCGAGUGGGCAUGCCCCACGCAUAACUAAAGGACGUAGUUAGCUUAUUAGUUACUCGGCCUGCGCGCCACGUAAACUUGAUAGUUUUUAGGGUCAACAACUUUCAUUUUUUCAUUCCCAACCUACCCUGAAUUUAAAAAUGGAUAGAAACAUAAUUUUUAGGCCAACUUUUACUUAAUUUGUUGCUCUUUGCUUUGCCACUUUUAUGCCAAGUUCUUCUUCUUCUUUUUUGUCGAUAUGCUAAGUUCUUCUUCUUCAUCUUCGUCACUUUUUAUUCUUCCAUUUGUUCGUGUUAUACUUCUAUCUUAUAUGUUGGAAUAAAUUAUGUUGAAACUAAAUUCACGCAGUGCCAUAGAAGGUAAAGACACACAAAUUCGAGUAAUCUGUAAAAGAACAAACAACCAUGAGCUAACAAAAAACUAGGGGUGUGCCAGUCAAAGGCUCUCCGAUGGUCAAGUUAGUAAGCAAUAUAAAAUUAAAGAAGUAGACAAGAAAGUAAGUAUGCGAUAAUUGUGUUACCAGAGAAAAUCCUAGAAUGAUGUAUUUAUACUAGUUGAGGAUGGGAUGUUUUAGAAUAGUAGAAUUUGUAUUAAAUCGGGAGAAUCCUAGAGGAUAUCUAGAGAUAGAUAUUGCAUCCUCUUAGGAGUGUGAUUACUUACCGCACACGUCAAUCUUUUGAUUGUAAGGACUCCAAGAUUAAUUAUAAGAAACUUGCUGAUUUCUUGCUGGAUUUUGUUUCCAUAUCUUAUGGAAAAAGGUUAGUCUCAUCGAAAUCAUCAGACUUCACCCACUGAUUUCGGAACAGGAUGAUGGUGGCAUCGCUGCUUCGUAUGUUUAGCUCCGCAUCGGAAGCUGUAGAGUCCAUGACCAAAUAUUCGUAUUCCGAUCCACCUUACUCUGGCCCUGAAAAGUCAUAGUCCAACAAUUUAUAUUGAAAUUUGUCAUGGUGAUAACUUAACUACAUGUAAUACAUAUUCCUUUCGCUUGUACAUGUCUUAAAAUUUGCCAAAUGCUUAUAUGUCUUUGCCUUUCCUUUUGUAUAAUUGGUUGGGUAUUUUUAAUUGUAGGAAGAUAGUAAUAUUUUCAUACGUAUAAUUGUUUCAUAUCUCUUUUAUAGGUAAAUGAAGAUGUUAAUUAAUCAAAUAUUUUUCGUAUAUAUAGAAUUGUAUUAUAUAUUGUUUCUCCCCAAAAAAAAAGUGCUUUAGAUAUCAUUAUCAUAGGUAAGUAACCGUAUAUAAUUAGAAAUUUAAAUCUAUAUUUAUUAUCAAAGUCAAAAUAGUCAUACAACUAAAAAAUAAAUGCACAAAUUGGGUUAAAGUUGACCACACACACACAUACACACGCGCGCGCACACACACAUAUAUAAUAUGUUUGUGUGUUUGUUUGUUUUCUAUAUGUAGAGCUUAAUUAAUUAGGUUUGCAUGGUAUACAUAGUAUCCAAGCUAUGUAGCUAUCUUAUUUUUUUUUUUAUAAAAGUUAGCCUGCAUGAUUUCUAAUCCAUCAAUGUUUCUUUGUAGUUGGAGGUGUUCUAUUUCAUGCAUGCAAUAGUAGGAGCUGUCGCUUGGUAAAAUUAACAAGGGGUUUUUGAACUUUAAUUCUUGAAGAAGAUUAAAAUUUAAUAAAAAUUUAGUGUUAUAUUGAAUAUUGAUUUUAGUCUAUUAAUAUGUAUUUAAUUCAAAUUCAUAUUAUAUUUUUGUUUUUAUAUUUAACAGAUAACUUAUUUAAUGUUAUUACAUUAAAUUUUAUUUAACUUUCUCUAAUUAGUGUACCUAAACGUCUGUAUCAUAAUAUACUUUACUAAAUUAAUGUACCAAAAUGCCCGUACCAAAAUAUAUUGUAGUGAAUUAGUGACACAUAAGAAAAUAUGUAAAAACAUAAGUGUACAGAAAAUUCCGUACCUAACUAUAUGAUACUAAACUAGUGUACCAAAAUGUCGGUACCUAAAUAUAUUAUACUAAACUAGUGUACCGAAAUGUUCGCACCUAAAUAUAUUGUAAUGAAUUAGUGGCAGAUAAGAAAAUAUGCAAAACAUAAGUGUAAUGAAAAAUCUCUAUGAAAAAUAUUUUCUUAUAUAAGAUGCUUACCAUUAGAUGAUUCCACUAAAUGAUGCCUAUAUAUCCUCGAAUCUUACUUUUCCACUCCACUACAAACUUUCAUUGUCAAAACAAAAAAAAAAAACUCCCAACUUUUUAUACGCACUUAUUUCAAAAUUUUGCCUCUCUUUUGAAUCUUUUAUCAUGGCUUUUUCAAGCAAGAAGUCUAAACCAAUUAAGCUUUCCCCCUAUAAUCUUCCUUUGACAAGAGUUCGUAAUCGAGAAGAAGGUGAGUCUUUCAUUAAAGAGCACCAUGACAUUUUGGACGACUGUAACGUCUGGUGGGAACCUGGUCAUGAUAUCUAUGCUAAUCUGCACCGUUGUUUAGUCCUUGCUGUCUUUGUACUAGAAUCUACCCUUGGUUCUUGGACUUUGGUCUUCGUUUCCCUCUUUCUGCUUUUAUGAAAGCCAUUUUGUUAUGCUAUGAUAUAGCCAUCUGAAACCUCUCUUUUACCGCCUUCAAGCUUUUCACUUGCUUCGAGUUGUUGAAUUAGUGGUUCGGGGCUAAGUUGGAUAUCCCAGAGUUUAAAUGUUGCAUAGCUUCAAACCGAGUUUGGAUGACCAUUAUUAUUUUGCUGCUAUAACUAGUUUGGAUUAGGAGACAUACAUCAAGACACCCCUAAUCACCACAAGGAUUGGUUCAAAGACAUACUAAUUGUUAACGGAGCUUAGGAGGGAGAUAUUAGCGGACUCCAGAUCCGGAUUGAUCCUCCGACCGUUUAUCGCAAUUGGAAAUGGUUGUUCUCUACUGAGCACUUGAACAACCGUAAGAAGAUAUAGACGCAUUUCAUUGUUCAGGAUUCCCUAUAAAGAAGCUAGAGUAGGUUGAUGCUCGUAAUGAUCAUAGAAAAACUCGUUCCUUUAAAACAGCAUAGACUUUGUCACCUGUCCUAAAGAAGCGGAAACAUCCUAACAAUUCUUCUUCUUACUCAUUGGUUGUGACUCCUCAGCCACAACUGCUGAUUAAGGACAUCCAUUAUAAACCCCUCUUCGAAUAAGCACGUUGCUGUUCUGGCGCCACCAACUUUUAUUGUAUUUGCCUCUAUAUCCAUAGCAAAUAAGCCGCUUACUUCACCUCUUAUCCAUUUACCUGCGGUGUUGCCCCAAUUGUCGAAGUCAGAACCUAUUGUCCUCAUUUGGUUCUUCCACCAAGUUUUAUGUUCGUGCCAUACGAAAUUGAUGUGCCUUCCAUUUCCUCAACGUCCACUUUCGUCCAUCCGCUGCAAGUGCCUAUAUAUGAACCUUCCUGCCAUAAUGGUCCUCCAUUGAUUUCCCCAUCGAGGUCCAAGGGAACAUCUCGUCCUCCCUUUAUGAUCAAACCUUUGGCUGAUCGAGUUGCUUUUGCUUCUGAUGUCAGUGGUCUUCAAAACACAUAUGAUGCUCGGGUGCUGCAUGGGGCUACGAUUGCCACUACCGAUUUCAAGGGAGCCUACACUUCUCUUAAAUGUGACAUAAUGCAGUACUAUAGGAGUCAUUAUGAGAUACCCGAAUUUCUCUCCUCCAUUUCUUUUUGUUGAUAUGUUUCCCUCGUAUUAGGUUAAUGUGUGGACGAAUCUAGGAACUUAAACGGAUUACAGAUAUAGGCAAAACGAUGAUUGCUAUCCCAAUCAUAAGAACUUAAGAACUCGUAUACCAUGUAGCAAGCCUCGAAUACCACUCAUGAUGUAGAGAUAAUUCGGGAGAUUGAUCUAGCUACUGUUAUAGAGGUAAAGGCCAAAGAUUACAAGGAAAGUUUUGAGAAGGUUAGAGACGAGCUGAGGUUAGAGAAGCAAGCCAAGACGAAGGUGGACUAGGCUCUUGUUGUCUUAAAAGGAGAGUCGGAGCGUGUGUUAGCUUUAAAACAAAAUGUUUGGGCUAAAGAGCAGGAAGCUCUUCAAAAAAAGAGGUCGAGCAUCUAUGCUAAGAGGUCGAUCACAACGAUAACAAGCCCAUCGCGUACCUUUAGCAGCUUACUAACAGGUAUUCCUCUUAGACGUAUGUAUUCCAGGAAGAUCAUAAGAGGUUACUUGAAGAGGAGUUUGACGUCAGAUUCCUUACCGAUUACGCCCAACAAGAUCACCCUAAAGGUUGGAGCGUCUUCAGAAUUUAUGAGUAGAUCAAACACAUGGACUUUCCUCCUCCGCAUCAUUUGUUAGAUGAGAUGUCAGAUUUAGAGGCGGAGCAAAAUGAAUGUGAUCUUAAAGGUAAUCCGACACCUGAUGCCCUUGGUGAAUCUUCUACUCCAUUCAAGGGAAACGAUGUCCUGAAAAAGGAUUAAUUUGCACUUGCUCCUGGGUAGGAAAGGAGACUGUCCCUUUUGCAAACUUUUUGUCGUAAUACAAAGCUUUUUCUUUCAUUUCUUUCUCUACUCGGGGAAGAAAUCUUAAUCCUAUAAAUUUCUCUAAAGUAAACGAACUUUAUUUGAGAAAUAAGUGGCGGAGCGGGUACGAGUAAGUUUGUAGGUUCGGGACAAAGCUCAUCAACUCCCCUUGGAAACAUUGAUUCAGGGGAAUGUUGCCUCCUAAGAUUUGUAUUCAUAAAGUAUUCUCAUCAUGAUAUCUAGAAUACCACCUUAUUAUGGUAUUAGGAAUUAGACAUUAAACCCAUGAGAAAACUCUUGCUCUUACACUUAUUAAAAUACAUUCAUCAGGUAUAAGAGGUCCAAAUCAUGCCUGAUAACAUCUUAGAAGUAGAGGUCGAUUACCUCAAAACUUGCAAUGUGGUGCCAGAAUGAGUUUUCCCUGGUCCGAAUUGCGUGUUCAUUUCUAGUGAAUCUUACGCAAAAGUUCUUUGGAUACAUGGUCAUCAACAUGUGAGUCAAAAAUGCUUUUAGAAUCCUUUUGUUAGACCCUAUGUGUCGGACUUGAGCGUUUAUAAUCGGACUACUUUGGUUGGCUUGACCAAAGCAUUUUCGCUUACUGAAGCUCCAUUGGAAUAAAAUUCCUCUUUGGGAUUGCCUAGUUUGAAUGCCCUCUUCGAACCUGCUAACACUUGGUGUUGUAGAGCUUACUUGACUUAGUAAAUUAGUCUGGGAUAGAAGUAGUCGUACUCGGGGUCAGAUUUUAGAGCCACCCUCAGAUAAGUUCCAGAUCGCCCUUUUGACUAUUCCCUCGAAUGUGUAGAGCCCAGGUUUGGAAUGUUAUAACCCACAACCUUGCUGGUUACAUAAACUUUCUAGAGACUGGAUGGUGCAUUGGACUUCCAGGUCAAGGCGCAAUGUUCCUGUACCCAUAGCCCACCAGUCGUUACAACACUUAUUACUGUUCGAGUCUAACAAGCUGCUAGCCGUUCCAGACGGAUAAGGCUAAAGAAGGCUCUUAUGAUAGUGUAAUUUUGAAUGUUUUUAGACUUGUAUUCGUGUAAAGUUUUCAAAGUUUGGGGCCUAUUUUUUAACGAGUGGGGUACUCCCUACAUCAUCGAAAAAAUAAAGAAAAGAAUACGUAUUUAAGACAAACAGAUGCUCGUUAUUCAUGAUCGAAGUAAAAUUGAUUGACAAGAGGGUGUGAUUGAAUCUGAGAAGGAUUGCCUACAUAUUUAUGAGAUGGAGAAUCAAAUUACUGAUAUAGUUCUAAAGAAAAUAUGAUAUAUGUAAAAAUUUACAUGAAAGAUCACUUUUGACGAUAAGCCUAUAGGGAGGCGUUGGGGGAUGAUUUCUCAAUGGACUUAUCUUCACACAGAUGGGGGCGUUACCGAACUGCCUACAUAUCUCAGGAAGGGAAUCAAACCGUGUGUAUUUCAUGUGAGAUUUACUUUGUUUUAGGUCACUUGGAGAGGCUUGCAAGGGUUUUAAUUUUCUUUCUUCAACAAGGAUUUCAUCCAUCGGCACAAGUCCUCUGGUUUCUAUGUCAUUGAACCUUUUGCUGCUUGGCAUCAAUUCGGAGUAGUGAGGUGGGAUUCUAUCUUUAAAGGGGACUUUUGCCAUGGCGUAUAACCAUUCUCGGCCAAAGAAAGCGUUGUAUAGAGACAAAUUAUCCAUCACUUGGAAAGUCAUCAGAUGUUCAGAUGGUUUUGCUUGAACCAUGAAAUGUAUUGUCCCUAUGGUGUUAAGCGGGGUUCCAUUAAGGGUUUGGACAUUGGAUCUUCAUGAGUUGACUUCAUCUAGGAUGUUAAUUGAUAGGGAUUUUUACCAUCUACAAAAGUAGAGAUAAAAACACUUAAAAAUACUUGCAAGAGUACAAGGUUGUCGUAGUAUAGUGGUUUAGGCAAGGUCGUUUUCCACCGAGAUUGAAUGAAUAAUUUGUGUUUAAAACCAACACUUAAUUAAUUAUUUAAAACAAAGUUUGGAAAAUGUUGAUUUUAGAAUUUAAUAUAAUAAAAACGAAUUUUAAAAUAAAACAAUUAAAGAAAUUAACUAGAGAACAAUUUAAAGAAAAACAAUUUGUAAAAGCCUAGGGUUCCGCCGUCCCCUUAACAAUCCUACGCAAUUUUACUAAUUACUUAUGAAUUUCCACAUAUAUACUUUGAAGGUUAGGUUUUCCUAAUGCAUAUUUUCCUUGUGUGUUUAAGCGAAAACGUAUAUCUAACAUGCAACCCGUCUGUGAUGUUCAGAUCAAAUAUAAACAUGCAAGACUCAUUAAGCUUUAUGAAAACCCUUUGAAAAACCAUGCAACCCUUAAGAGCGUGAUAUUCACCUUAAGUGAACUUACAAUUACUAAUCACAAGAAGCCCUCCUCAAUUUCAGGGUGAUGUUCCAACAGAAAUUGCAUCAAAUUACUUGUCUAAAAACCCUAAUGGUUGCGAAUCACUAAGACAAUUAGAUAGUUUGAUCGCAGUGAUUAAUAAUUCAAAGUAAGCAUGCAUCCAUUCAUAAGCAAAUUAAUAAAAUCACAUAUUCAUGCUAAGGCUUGUGGCAUCGCCCUAGCAAAAGAACUUAGUUACGAACAAUCAUGAAACAAAAUAUUAUUGAGAAUAAGGAUAGAAAACGCCUAGAAAAUAAACUUGAAAAACUCUCUAAAGUGUGCGUGCGUUCUCUCCUCUCCUUCCCUUCUAACCCUAAUGGCUAAAAGGUCUUAUUUAUACUACUACAAAAUAAAACCUAAAAAGUCUUAGAAUAAAACUAGGAAACAUAAUAAAAUAAUAAAACAUAAAAUAAAAGGUUUCCUAUUUGAACUAAAAUUCGGAUUUCUUAGAAAAUCAGACUUUUGACCGACCAAAUUAACUCUGAUUUGUCCCAAAAAGUCUCUUUUGAAAGAUGGAGACGUCCCCUACAAAUCCUCAGAAGAAAUCUUCCUCAAAAUAUUCCAUCUUGACCUUCAAAAUGCCCAAAACGUCCAGAAAGGUCAGUCUGGAAAAGCUGCGCGCUGGGCCUUUAUUUCAUAACCACGGUCAAACGGCUUAGUAGAAAAAUAUAGAAUUUUGACACAAUCAUCUUGAAAGACUCACGAACAUCCUCCAAUUAGAAUUACUCUAAAAUUAAUCUGUUUGAUCACUUUUUUGCUCCAGAGGAAAUUGAAUGUCCAACUUUAGAAAUAUAGUUCAAAGUAUCAAAAUUCUACCAAAAUAACUAGGGUAAAUUACAUAGUAGCCCCUCAGGUUUGAGGUCUAUUACAACCCCAUACAACAACUUUAAAACAUUUCACUUUCAUACAUCCAUUGCCAUUUUAUUUCAAAAUAACACCUCUGUUAGAUUUUCCAUCUAUUAGUCUGUUAAAUGCUGACGUGGCUACCACAUUUAUGCUGAUGUGGCUGCCACGUGGAAAAAAUAUUUUUUAUACAUUAAAAAUAUUAUAAUAUUAACCCAAUUAAAAUAUUAAAAAAAACAUAAAAACCCUAACCUAGAUCCCCUUUCUCCCCCCUCUCUUUUAUGCAAUCCCUUCCCACUAUCCCUCACCCACCCCCCAGCGACCUCUCCCCAAGCGACCCACAUCCCUAUCCCUAACCUAGAACCCAAAAACCUGCAACAAGAAGAAGAAAAAGAAGAAGAUGAGGGAGGAAAAAAAAAACCCCCAGUUUGUCCCCUCUUCAAAACCUGCAAGAAGAAGAAGACGAAGAAGAGGGAGAAAAAAAAGAGAAAAAAAAGAAAAAAAAAAGCCCAGUUCGCGGGAAGGUCGCCGAAAGGUCGCGCGAGGGGGGGGGAAGGGAAGUCGGUCGCGGGUCGCGGCAGAGCGGGGGGAAGGGAGAUGGGUCGUGGGUCAUGGCAGGGCCGGGGGGGUUUUCUUUUUUUUUUCUUCUUCCUCCCUCUUCUUCUUCUUCUUUUUGUUGUUGCAGGUAUGUGGGUCGCUUAAAGGGGGUGAAGUCUUUGGGGGUGGGGUUCGGGGUGGGUAAGGGAUAGUGGGAAGGGAUUGCAGAGAGGAGAGGGGGAAGAAAGGGGAUCUGGGUUCAGAGGGUGUGUAGAGAAGGAAAGAAGGUGGGUGCGGAGGAAGAGAGGGUUGCGGGUUAGGGGGGUGCACAGGGAGGGUCGACGUUUGGGGGGGGGGGCGGGGGUGUUCUGGGUUUCUGGUUUUGGGGUGGGGGGUUAUCAUUUUUGGGUUUUAGGGAACAAGAUGAAGAUGGGGGAUAUAGGUUUGGGGGUUGCUGGGAGAAGAGAGGAUUUUGGGAGUUGCAAAAGGGUGGGGGUGGGGGAGGGGGGAAGGAAGGGAUAUGGAAUUCGGGAUUUUCUAGUUUUUUUUGUUUUUUUAAUUGGGUUAAUAUUAUAAUAUUUUUAAUGUAUAAAAAAUAUUUUUUUCUACGUGGCAGCCACAUCAGCACAAAUGUGGUAGCCACGUCAACAUUUAACAGACUAAUGGAUGAAAAAUCUAACGGAGGUGUUAUUUUGAAAUAAAAUGGCACUGGAUGUAUGAAAGUGAAAUGUUUUAAAGUUGUUCUAUGGGGUUGUAAUUUACCCUCAAAUCUGAGGGGUUACUAUGUAAUUUACCCAAAUAACUAAUAUAUUAAUACUAAGAUAAGGGUAAAAUAUAUGGUAAUAUGGACUUAUCACUAAUCCUUAUAGCUACCUCCUGAAGAGGAUAUUGACUUCCGAUCCGUUAUCGAUUAGGACUCUGCCGACCAUAGUGUCUUUGAUUUACAACUUGACUGCAAGAGUGCCAUUGGAUGGUGGGUAAACAAUUUAUGGCCUGGUUAAGGGAUCUUUCAUCCAAGGUUUUCCUUGGGUCAUUUUCCUUCCCUUCUGCGCUUUCUUGAAAUACUAUUGUCUUCUCCUUAUGUGAUUGAUGCCUGGAUGGACUUCAUGCCUAGGUGUUAGGGAGGCAGUGGUUAGGGAAUUUCCCGCAGUCUUGUAAAUUACACUACUAGGAGGGCUUCCUAGAUCAACUAUUGUGAAUUUGUCGUUCCUGGGGGAGCUCGAAUAGUAGAAUUUUCAAAUCGGGUGAAGGUACCUUCUACAGUUUUCAUUCUUUCAUUCAGCCUAGCGAGCUUCACCCUUUCUCCUACUUGUAGGUUCUUCUUGAGCACUUUUAUUGACAUGUGUACCUUCAGGACGUUAUCCCAGACCUGGUCGAUGAAAGAGGCUUCUUCUCUAUUCGGGUAUACGGUUUGACCAAACAGCAAUUUUCUGGACGUGGUAUCCGUGGAGCAAAGUGGUCUGGUCGAGAGGAAUAUGGGUUUUCUUUUAAUGAAAGCACCAAUUGUUGAAACCAAAUCUACGCACCUCCGUGAGCGGCGGUUGGGCACAAAUCCGAGUAAACCUGAACAACCUACAAAAGGCUCUUCGAUAGUCAAGCAGUAGGCAAGAGAAUUCAAAUGUAUAGGUUACGUUACUGUAGAUGAACCCUAAACGGGUGUAUUUAUACUAUGAGAGAGAGACAUUUUUAGGAUAGAUCCUCAUUUUAAGCCGGGAGAAUCAUAGAGGAUAUUAGUGAGUAGAUAUUGCAUCUUCUUAGGAGUUGUGAUCACUUGCGGAGCAUGCCUAUCCCUAAAUUGUAGGGACUCCAAGACUUAUAGGAUCUGAUUGUGUCCAUAUCCAGAUCACAUCACAUGUCUUGCAAAACAAGUAUGGUCAUAUGGUGGAGUCACUAGGACUCUGCCUAGGGCCCCAUAGUAGAGUGAUGGUGGCACCCUUCUCCAUUUGAUACAGCUUCACCCGGAGUUGGUAGUGAGUCCAUGAUUGAACUCUUGAGAUAACGGUAUUCGGUUUAGCCUUACUCCGAUCCUGAAAAAUCAUGGUCCCACAUGAGCAGACAAACAUAUUUAGGUGAUUCUGUAAAUGAAUAAUUCCAUCGUGUAUUACGGUGCUCCUACAGAAAAUGGUCCCAAAUUUCUAUCACUUCCAUUCAUUUAUCAGCAAUAGCCCAAACGCCAAACCUCAUUUUUUAAAAGUCACCUGGUAUUAAGCUAAAUAAGUCAAUUAAUUAAGUAUGUAAUUGAGUAAUUAACUAAUGGUGGUGAGAUGAUGAGAAAUGGAAAGUACAAGAGUAUCCUGCACAGAACCACCGUAAACAAGGACAAGACAAGAAUGUCAUGACUAGUGUUAUUGGAGCCGCCAGCAGGUCCUCAUUUACAGCUUGUGAACGCCGACAAUCCACCAGAGUAUAAGACCAAGAAGUAUGGCUACCAUGUUUACUGUAAGAUCAACAAGCAUCCCCAGUAAAUAAAAGAAAAACUAACGAAAAGUUAAAAAAAGACUUUAGUUUUAAUGAAAAAUGACAAAUAAAGGUGUAAUGAAUAGUAUCAGGGAAAAGUAAAAAUGUGAUUUUUCGUUAAAAGUGAACAAUACCAGGAGUAUUUGUUAAAACUCCCCAUAAAUAAAUACUAUGAAGUGGGUGGUUUUUGUUUUUUUUAUUUUUAUUUCCUUAUUUUGUGUUGGUGAAAUUGUGGGUGGUGAGUACCAUAUUUGUAUGAAAUAAUAAUUUGAAGUCAAGGUGAUGAGCAAAAUCUUACUCGAUUGUAUAUUAUUAUGGAAGUUGAGAUUUGUUGUCGGAUUCGACAUUCUUCUUAUCCCUCUAACUCACAACAAGUCUGAUCAAAUUCUCAUUUGGUGUCCAAGAUAAAUUUGAAUGAAUAGCCCACAAUAUUUAUUGUAUGUUGAACAAACAAAUGAAAAUUUUGUAUCCAAUUUAAAGUAAAAGAUGAAUUACUCAUACAGAAAACUUGUACAUUCAAAUUUCCUCCAAAAUGACAAGAUUCUUUGGGACACUUUGGAUGCGAUCCCUAGCUAUCAAUAUUCUUUGAUUGAAACCUUGUUAGUUUUUAGUUUUUGAUUGAGGUCCCUGAUAUUAAUGUAAUAAUGUAAGUUACUAUAUUUUUUUAAUUAAAAAUUAAAAAUUGAAAUUUGUAAUUGUUUAUAUUAAUGAGAUUUUAAAUAAAACCCAUAAUUUAUGGGAUUAAAAAUAAUAAAAUAUAAAUUAUUCUCUCUAUUAUAUUGUGUGUGUGUGUGUGUGUAUAUACAUAUAUGUAUGGGUACAUUAACCAAAAUUAACAAAAAAAGUUAUUGUACCAAAACAUGGAUACAUUCUCAAAUCAACGAAAAAGAAUGUACCCAUAUAAGUUUAAACAUGGAUUAAAAAAUUUGAAUGGAUUUUAUAUUAAAAAAGGGUACAUUUUACAUAUAACAAAUUGAUAUAUUUGAGAAUGGGUACAUUUAAGAUUAAAAAAAUUGAAAAAUUAUAUGAAUGGGUACAUUUAAGAUUAAAAAAUUGAGAAUCUUUUUAUAUAUAAAAAAAACUAAUAGGUACAAACUUAAUUUAAUUUAAUUUUUUAUUAUUUUGGAAAUGUUUGAAUUGAAAAUUAAUUAGAAGUUUAAUAGAGGUGUGAGUAUUAAACCCUAAAUUAAUUACUAAUUUUUAUAUUAAAAAAAUUAUAUAAUAAACAUGUAAAUUCAUUAUCACAUUAAUGCUAGGGACUUGAAUCAAAAUUAAGAACUAAUAAGGUGUUAGUCAAUGAACAGUAAAAACUAGGGACUGGAUACUAAUUUUUCCUUAAAAAUAUAACUUUCAUUCAUAUCUACUCAAAAUGAAGAAAACCAUUUACCUCUACAUUCAUCUUUAUGUACUUGGAAUUUUACGAGUUAUCUAUUACAAUCCUAGAAAUCAAAUGACCUUAAGAAACAAAGAAUCAGAAUAUUUAAACUUAGGACAUUGGAUACAAAAGUGUAUAUUCUUAAUCACUACAGUUCAUUUCUUAAACUUUUAUAGUUUAGAAUGCAUAAUCUAUAAAAGCUUUAUUUACAGAAGAAAAGAAAGAAAAUGAGGAGACACGAUUGAUUUGUACAAAAAUAAUAUUGUACAGGCAAAGUCACAUCCCAGAACCAAUUUUGGGAGAGGUUUUGUUUGUUUGCAAGUAAAACAAGUAGAUGUUUUUAACCUUUUACCCUCCAAAACAAGUUCAAGAACGUUCUACUAGUUAGAACAAUAAUAGUAGGGUGGAAUGCUGAUUUAAUCUCUGAAUUAUUACCUCAGUGAAAAUUAGGUCCCUGAAUUAUUUUUCGGUAAAAUAAGUCCCUAAAUUCAUUAAAAAUUGCUAAUUUCAUCCAUACUACUAUAUUAAAAGCUAGUUUAUCACUUUUUUGUCAACUUAAGUCACUUGACACAUUUUAAAGUAAAAUACCAACAUUUUCUCACGUAUAAGCCAUUAACAUUUCAUACAGGUUACCAAUCUAAGGUCUAAUUUUUACCCUCCAAAGUUAACUUCAUAUACUAUUUCUUUAUGUAAAAUUACUAAUCUACUCUCUAAUGUGUAUCAUAUGCAAGUACCUUGACUUAAGUUGACGGAAAAUUGAAUAUAAUAGCUUUGAAUAUAAUAUUAAGGAUGUAAUUGGCAGAUUUUUAAAAUUCAAUGAUUGAUUUUCCUCAAAAAAAUAAAAAUAUUAAAGACCUAACUUUUACUCAGGUGAUAAAUUAUUCAGGAACUAAAUUGGCAGUUCACUCAUAGUAAUAAUGACAGACCCCGACCUAAAUCAGGGCGUGCUAAUCGUCACGUGAGGGUGACGUAGCCAUGUGCACAGUGUGGAAGCAAUAGAGAUAAAAGGAAAUGUGAAUGAAUAAAAACCAUACUACUAAAAGUCCUAGCUAAAAUAAAGUGCUAGUGUGAGAUUAAGUGUGAAAUACACCAUCAAAGCAUAAAUAGUCUAAGUGCAGUUCAACUGGAUAAGUACUAAUUAUAUAACACCCGAAGGUGAUCCUACAUUUAAUAUUCUGUAAGAACCACCGACGAAAUCCCCAUGAGCCACCAAAGCACUUCUACUUAAAAUCUGGAGGGGCGCAAAACAGAAAGUGUGAGUGGGCAAAAACAAAGCUUUUCAAAAUCAGUUCAUUUAUCAAAAAACGCUAACCCCUUGUCGUAAAACCUGUAUAAUUUCCUAAAAAAUAAUAUAUGUUAUAUCAGAAAUCAUGCUCAGGAUGAAAAUCCAUAGAAAUAUAUCAUGCCAAAGUAUCUCAAAGAAAUGCUAUAAAUUAUUCAGUUAAAAUAUAUCAAUACCAGAUAUCAUAUCAGCCGGAUCCACCUAACAUGACCUGCCCAGUUGAGUUUAUAACUCAUAACCAAUCUUAAUCAUAUCAAAUCAUGCACACGAGUCGGAAACACCUAACGUGGUCUGUACGACAAGACUAGGUGUAAAAUAAAUAUGCUCUAGUGCUAUGAUCACGUGAAGACUAUGCAUAUGAUCACGGUUCACCUACGAGUCAGAACCACCUAUAGUGGUCUGUAGGACAAGCCUGUGCACCUAACUUGGAUCCAAGGUAAGCAUAUGGUGCAGGAGGUGAACAUCACAUGAAGGACUGUGCCUUAACUCUGGGCAGGAGCACUAACACCAGGGUGCAGGUUUAUGAGCUCUCAUUGCAUCACAUCAUAUCUCGCAUAACUAAAUCAAUCUCAUAUAUUUAAUUUAUGAACUUACCUGGCACUUACCUGUGCGUCCGCAGCACCAAUCAUAAAUAUAUGCUACUAUUAAUGCAUAAAUAAAAUAGGCAGAUACUUUGUAUGGCAUUUCAAAACGUAUAAUCAUUCAAAUUCAUUUUCUGGGAAAAAUCUCAAGUAUAUAGGUAUAUACGGAAAACCAAAAGCCCACUCACCGGUAUGUCGAAAGGUUGUAGCCCCCGAGCCUCGAAUGAUGGCGCUCGUCCUCUAGAUAGGUCUCACCUAUAUGCGAAAUAACUAAAUAAAUGUUAAUUAAAGCACACAACCACAAUUAGCUAAUAACUUCUUAUACAAUGCUCAAAUGAGGUGUUUGAAUAUACCAACGUGAUCUACUCAACACCACGAACAUCCCCAUAUUUUUAGAAAAAAAUUUCGAGCAUCCAAACACCCUCACGCGCUGGCCAAGGCACGGCUAGACAAGCGGCCCACUUGCAGGCACGUGCCUGGCACACCAAACGGAUUCCCUAACGGCGUUAAGGAAUAUUCCGUUAAAAACCAACAUAUACCGUUAAAAUUACCUGACAGCAUUAGCAUAUUCCGUCAACUUUGACGUAAUAUUCUCCUUCUUCCUCCUUGGUUCGCCGGAGUCUAGCGCCAAUGCCGUUGCUAUCAUCGGAAACUGGAAAAAUCCUAAAAACUUCAUAUCUUUUUCGAUUCUCAACCAAAAUUCAUGAAAUUUGUCUCAAAAUGAAGCUUAGAGUGAGUAGAACACAUUCUUACCACUUUCAAGCCUUGAAAUCCAUGGAAACUCGCCAAAGAAACCUCGAUAAUCCUGCCAAAAUUUGAAACUCGUCAAACUAAGCUUCCCGACGUCCAAAACAGUCCAACUUUCUUCCCCGAGCUUCGUGAAGACGUCCUAAAACUCCCUGGAACCUUAAAAGUCAAAGAAAAGUCCACAAUCAUAACUGCAUGAACAGUGCUCAAAAUCGGGAUUCUUGGGUUCUUGAGUUUUUGAAGGAUUCACGUUCUAAAAAUGGUAUAGAUGUGUUCCUGAGCUCACAAGGAACAUGAAGAUGGCUUCCAAAACCUCGAUUUGCGAUUAAUGAGCUAGGUUCGAGUUUGUCCGUACGGUUGUACGAAAAUGGAAAAAAAUCUGAUAGGGAGGAGAGAGAGAGUAAACGGGAUUGGUUGGUGUGUGUGUAUGGUCUAGCUUUGGGCUACUAACAACAACAAACCAUUAACUUUAAGUUCCGAAAACUUAGGAACUUAACAUAUUGGUCCACCUCUAAAAGUACGUCACACACAACACAUCUCAACGUUUAAGGGUAAAAUAGACAUUUCACACUAUCGAUAAAAAUAAUUUGGGACUGGCUGUGACAACCUACCUUCCUUAAGAAAAUUUUAUCCUCGAAAUUCACACAACAAAUACAAUCCACUAAUAAUCAUAAAACAACCUUGCAUACAUAUCCCUCAUCCUGUCCUCUGUCUCCCAAGCAGCUUCUUCCAUUGAGUGAUUUCUCCAUAAAACUUUCACUAAGCGCACGGUCUUGUUCUUCAGCACCUUAUCUUUCCAAUCCAAUAUCGUCACUGGCUCCUCAUCAUAAGUCAAAUCUGGAUUAAUUUCCAAAGGUUGAGGAGGUAUCACAUGUGACGGAUCUGAAAAAUAAUGACGAAGCAUGGAAACAUGGAAAAUGUCGUGCACUUUAGAUAACUCUGGAGGCAACUCAAGCCUGUAAGCAACUUCACCGACUCUCUCGGUGAUCACAUAUGGUCCGAUAUACCUAGGACUUAACUUACAUUUCUUCCCAAACCGAACCACACCUCUCCAUGGUGAAAGCUUAAAAAAUAUCCAAUCACCCACUUUAUACACCCUGCCAAUGGCGUGUUUUUCUGCUAAACUCUUUUGUCAAUCCUGGGCAGCUUUCAGGUUAGAUUUAAUUACUUGAAUAUUCUGAGUAGUCUCAUCCACAAUCUUAGGGCCCACCAAAACUCUUUUGCCAACCUCUGACCAACAUAAAGGUGUACGACAAGACCUGCCAUAAAGUGCCUUAAAUGGUGCCAUACCAAUACUUGAAUGAAAACUAUUGUUGUAGGCAAAUUCCAUUAAAUCCAACCGCUUAUGCCAAACGUCACUAAACUGCAAUACUGAAGAUCUCAGCAUAUCUUCCAGCGUCUGAAUAGUCAUCUCUAAUUGUCCAUCUAUUUAAGGAUGAUAUGAUGUACUAUAAAGUAAUCUCGAACCAAGAGCUUCCUGGAAUGCUAUCCAGAACUUAGAAGUAAAUCUAGGAUCACGAUCCGAGAUAAUACUAACUGGAACUCCAUGGUACUUCACAAUCUUCGAUAUGAAUAAUUUAGCUAAUCGGCUUAAAGAAUACUUCUCCCUCACAGAAAUAAAAUGUGCCGACUUAAUAAGCCGAUCAAUUAUCACCCAAAUGCCAUCAUAACCAUUCUGUGUACGAGGAAACUUGUACACAAAAUCCAUAGUAAUAUUUUCCCAUUUCCACUAUGGAACGGGAAGUGGCUGCAUCAAUCCAAAAGGUUUCUUUCUUUUUGCUUUGACAUGCCACCUACUCACAUAUUCGGCAAUUCUCUUUUCAUACCUGGCCAAUAAUAAAAUGGUCGAAUGGUAUGAUACAUUUUAGUACCUCUUGGAUGCAUUGCAUAAGCUGAAAUAUGUGUUUCAUCAAGAAUUGCUUUCUUUAAUUCCAUAUUAUUCGGCACAUACAUUCUACUUUCCUGCAUAAGCAUGCCAUCAGUUUCUCGAAUUCUGAAGUCUUUCUUCUUCCCCCGAUUCCUUGCUUGAAUUAUUUCCUGGGUCUCUUCAUCAUCCAUCUGGGCUUCAAGUACAUGAUCAAUUAAUAUUGGCCUGACUUGAAAUUUUGCAAGUAAGGCUUCCUCUCGAUCUUCCACUCCUAACUUCACUCCAGUGGACCUUAAAUCCGUAAGAAGAGGAACAUGACAAUCAUAAAUGACAUUAAGUCUAAUUGAAGGAACUUCAAGAUCAAGCCCCAACGACCCUUUGAAGGAACUUCCACCAAUUCAAGAUCAAGCCCCGACGGCCCUUGAAGAAAGCGUUCAUCGUUCAUCAUCCGUUCAUCCUAAGAUCAAGCCCCAACGACCCUUUGGAUCAACAACAUCAACAAAUCCACAUAUCCAAUCGUUUUUCAAGAUAAAGCCCAAAAUCCCUUGAAGAUCCAUUCAUCAACUGUUCAUCAAGAUCAAGCCCCAAAGGCCUUUGAAGAUCCGUUCAUCAACAAUUCUUCAAGAUCAAGCCCAAAAGCCUUGAAGAUCCGUUCAUCCAUCAACCUUCAAGAUCAAGCCCAAAGGCCCUUAAAGAAACUUCCCUCAACCUUCAAGAUUAAGCCCCAAUGGCCCUUGAAGAAAACUUUCAACCGUUCAUCCAAGAUCAAGCCUCGACGGCCCUUGGAUCAAUCGCACAUCCACAAAUCAACACCUUACGGAGAUCGAAUCAGAGGAUCAAAUUUGAGAGAGAUUGUAACCCCUAAAUCAUUAAUACAAAUAUUAUUUUGUACACGUGUUCUUGUCUCGUUCGUUUAGAAAUUUCCGUGUUUACAAAUUUGGCACGCCCAGUGGGACGUUCUCUAUCUUUGAAUCCGUAAAAAGCACAAAUGGCAUCAAAGAAGACUCAAGUCGCUCUCACAACCAAUGCAAGGAAUAAGAGCGUCAUCACCGCAGGUGGUGUCACUUCGGGCGUCACAACUCGAAGCAAGGCAAGAGCUCUUUCUGCCGCCUCUUCUAUUCCUGCAUCAACUCUGCCGAAGGAACAAGAGCACCCGAGGCACGAACCUAUGAUCAUCCUGGCCUCGCUAAGGGCGCUAAGGAAGGAAAGCCCAAGGAAGUACUCUGGUUCCAUGUUUUCCGAUGCCGACUCAAGCGGCAGCUCAGCCAUGCAAGUCAUGACUACUAGAGCAACUUCAAUCGAUGAGCAGUUGGCUCAUAUGAAUGAAGCGAUCGCAAGGCUAACACGGAUUGUGGAAGAAAAAAACCAGCAAAUCGUCUCACUCGUCAACCAACUAGAUGUAAAGCCCGACGUGAAAAUCGAGCAAGGGGAUGAUCCAGUAAAGAAGGAAAACGACGAGGAUGAAGAGCCUCAUGUGGAGAAAGUCGAAGAGAAACUAAAGCUAGACCAAUCAGCGGUAUUCAUAGGAUCUCUCUCGAUCCAGCAGCUGCAGGAGAUGAUCGCCAGCACCAUCAAGGCACACUACGAAGGAAGUUCACAUGACUCCGUACUAUACUCAAAACCCUACUCCAAGAAAAUUGACGUUUUGAAGAUGCCGAGGGGUUAUCAGCCACCAAAGUUCAUGCAGUUCGAUGGAAAGGGAAACCCGAAGCAACACGUUGCACAUUUCGUCGAAACCUGCAACAACGCGGGGACAUAAGGAGAUUACCUCGCCAAGCAGUUUGUACGCUCGCUGAAAGGAAAUGCCUUUGAGUGGUACACGGACCUAGAGCCUGAGUCCAUCAACAGCUGGGAGCAAUUGGAAAGAGAAUUCCUCAACCGCCGCACUGUGAGCAUACUAGAGCUGACGAGCACAAAACAAUGGAGGGAUGAGCUAGUUGUAAACUACAUUAAUCGAUGGCGCAAUCUAAGCCUCGACUGCAAGAACAGGCUCUCAGAGAUCUUUUCAAUCGAGAUGUGCGUCCAAGGCAUGUAAUGAGGGUUACACUAUAUCUUUCAAGGUAUUAAACCACGGACCUUUGAAGAGUUAGCCACCCGUGCCCACGACAUGGAGCUAAGUAUUGCCCAUCACGAGAAGAAAAAUUCGAUCACCGACUUCAAGAAGGAUAAGGUGUUCUCCCCAAAUGUAGACAAGACUGGGAAGAAACCCCCCAAGGAAGCGUUCACCGUCAGCACUGCACCUGUCAAGACCGCCUUUGCACCUAUCAAGAUCUCCUCCAAAACCAAAGCAAAGGAGAUAAAGAGAGGUGAGCCUCCUCGCACCCAAGAAAGGUACAAAAGCACCUUAAGGGAAUUGGAGCAGAAGGCGUACCCUUUUCCUGACUCAGACAUGGAUGCAAUGUUAGACGACUUGCUGGAAAAGAAGGUAAUCAAGCUACUCGAAUGCAAGUGGCCUGAAGAAAUGAAUCGCAUAAACGAUCCUAAAUACUGCAAGUACCAUCGAAUCGUGAGCCAUCAUGUGGGUAAGUGCUUUGUCCUCAAAAAGCUCAUCAUGAAGCUAGCAUAACAAGGGCGAAUCGAGCUCAACCUCGAAGGCACGGCCGCAACACAUACUACUACAAUUACAUUUGGAUCUUUCGAUCCUGUACCUCUUCAAACAACACUUGACCAUUCCUAUCAAUGCUCAAGUUGCACGAUACCUUAUGCGCAACCAUCGCCGGGGGCAAACGAACAAGAUGCACAUACCGAUGAUGAAGAAGGAUGGACAUUGGUGACCUACAAAAAAACAAGGAAACCAAAACCACAAGCCAUAAGACCAAAUGUGGAACAAGUGAGAAAGCAUCGUCGCCGCAACAAUAAGAAGCCCAAAAGAAACAUAAAAGCUGAUAAGCCAACAUAUGUUGGGGAACCUAUGGAGCAAGAGACACGCAUUCCUGUCUCCUUGCAUGAGUAUUUCUCGAAUGACUUCUUCCAACAGUGCACUAUCGCUGCAUGCCACAUGGUCGAAGUAGAAAUGGAAGAACCUUCAAAAGGCAAAGAUAUCACCACUGAGGGAGAAAAAACUCUCACGCUCGAAGAAGGUCUGCCAAUACACCUUAGCAUUGAGGAAGCGCUACGAUUGCCAAAGAAGAUGCGAAGAGCAUUAACAGCGGUCUUGGAAAGUCCCAAUGACCACGAAGCGCAAGAAAGCAAAGACGAAGGCUUGAAGCUUCAACCACAUGAAUACGCCACAUGUUGUGCCACCUAUGAUGCAAUCAACUUCACUGACGAAGAUUUACUACUGGGAUCAAAGCCUCACAACCGUCCUCUUUUUGUCUCGGGAUACGUAAAAGAGCACAAAGUCAACUGCAUGCUUGUGGAUGGUGGAUCAGCCAUCAACAUCAUGCCAAAGUCAACAAUGGCUACAAUCGGCAUCAAGGUGGAUGAACUGUCCUUAAGUCAUAUACUAAUCCAAGGUUUUAAUCAAGGAGGACAAAGAGUGAUGGGCAUGAUCCGUGUGGGGAUGACUAUUGGUGAACUCAAGUCAAGCAUGAUAUUCCACGUGAUUGAUGCAAGAACUUCCUACGACUUGCUCUUAGGAAGGCCUUGGAUCCAUGCAAAUAGAGUAGUACCGUCCACCCUUCACCAAUGCUUAAAAUUCUACUGAGAAGGAGUGAAGGUGAUCUAUGGUGACACCAAACCAUUCACCGAAGCCGAAUCACAUUUCGCAGACGCCAAGUUCUACAUGGAUGAAGACAUGGUGCCCAAACACCGUCAACAAUAAAGAAUGUGACCUCACUGAGACUCAAAAGAAGUUGAAGAAGCAUGGUUACGGAGUUGACAACGACAAAGCUGGACUUGGCUUCACACCAAAUGCACACGUGAAGAUUUCAAGCAAAGCAAAAAAUGCUAGCACUCAACACAUCAGCGUGAACAUUGAACAAGAUCAAUAGAAGCUUAAGUCCGCCCUUCGGACGUUAGUCUUUGAUAGGAUGAAUCGUUCAAGACCCAGAACGUCAGCACUUGAUCGCAUUGGUGGUCAAAACCCAACCUCCGUCUUCAAGAGGCUUAACAGGCCAACAUCCCAGCUCUCCUUCUCGUCGGUCGACUUUGGAAAGACUUGAAGACAACAGGAAGUUUUCUAGAAAUAGGGAGACAACGUCAAAGGAAGAAAAGCUCAACAGGCUAGCAGAAAAAGGCGAUAUUUGAAGCUGAAUUCCUUCAAGGAUGAAGUGCCAAGCAAUCUUGAAGGUUGACACAAAUGGACCACUGAAAGUAAGAAGGUGCAUCAUCAUCCGCACUGGACAAUCUUCAUGCCAACAAGCCCAAGAGGAUGACACUGAAUGGGAGAUCCAAGACAUCUUCCUCGUCACAAUUCAAAAAGGUAAAGGAGAUGAAAUCCCUAAGGAAGAAGUCACCUCUGUUUCUUUCGACUCAAAGUCGCCACCUCAAUCGCUAGGGGCAUGCUCCAAGUCAAGCGAAGUUGAAGGAGGGACUCAUGUCGCUUCAAAGAAAUUACACAUAAAGCCUACGUCACAUUCACAAAUGCACCAGUUGAAAAGGGGGCAAGAAACCAUUGUUAAUACACUUUCAAGCCUGGAUGAAGUUGAGAUCGACAACAUGAUCGAAGGUGAUCUAAUUUAAGAGGUCGUGGAUGCAGGACGAAACUUAAAUGUUGCCUUUAAAAAAUCAGGGGAACUCCGCGCUUGCAUAGAUUCUCGUAACUACAACACCCGAAAGAACAACACCGAAUAGGAAGUCCAAGAUGUCUUCCACAUCACGGUCCAAGAAAGCAAAGAAGACGAGAUCCCCGAAGAAGAUGUCACUGCUGUGCCACUGCAACUUGAGGAUGGGGGGAAUCCACGGUUGAUGAUCUCAAGGAGCUCAACUUAAGCACAAAAGAGGAGCAGAAACCUAUCUUUGUAAGUGCGCUGCUAAGUGCGGACGAGAUAGAGGAGUAUUACCAAUUGCUAUCAGAAUACAAAGACGUCUUUGCUUGGACCUACAAAGAAAUGCCUGGCCUUGACCCUAUCAUUGUUGUGCAUCAUCUUGCAGUCAAGCUUGGAACGCGACCGAUAAGGCAAACUCAAAGGCGUUAUUGAUCCGAGUUCAUUCCACAAAUCGAGGUAGAGAUUGACAAGUUAAUCGAAGCAGUCUUCAUUUGGGAGGUGCAAUACCCCAAGUGGAUCUCCAACAUCAUCAUCGUCCUUAAGAAAUCUGGACAAAUACGUGUUUACGUAGACUUCCGGGACCUCAACGACGCUUGCCCGAAUGACGACUUCCCCUUGCCAAUCAUCGAAAUCAUGAUGGAUACAACCACUGGCCACGAGGCACUGUCAUUCAUGAAUGGCUCUUAUGGAUAUAAUCAAAUUCGUAUGGCUCUCGAAGACGAGGAACUAACAGCCUUCCGCACUCCAAAAGGUAUUUACUGCUACAAGGUGAUGCCCUUUGGUCUGAAGAACGCUGGAGCUACAUAUCAACGUGCAAUGCAGAAAAUCUUUAAUGACAUGCUACACAAAAACGUAGAAUGUUAUGUAGACGAUGUGGUGGUCAAGACAAAGAAAAGAUCAGACCGCUUGAAGGAUUUGCGAAUGGUGUUCGAAAGGUUGUGAAAAUACAACCUCAAGAUGAACCCGUUAAAAUGUCCAUUUGGCGUCACCUUCGGAAAGUUCCUUGGCUUCAUUGUCAAGCAUCGUGGUAUUGAAGUUGACCGAUAAAAAAUCAAGGCCAUUCAAAGCAUGCCUGAGCCAAGAAACCUGCAUGAGCUGAAAAGUCAACAAGGACGGCUAACCUUCAUCAGACACUUCAUCUUCAACCUUGCAGGGCGUUGUCAACCGUUCAGCCGACUCAUGAAGAAGGAUGUUUCGUUUGUAUGGGACGAAACAUGCCACAAUGCUUUUGAAAGCAUAAAAAAGUAUUUGUCAAGUCCACCUGUCUUGGGGGCACCUGUGCCCGAGAAACCACCAUAUUGUACAUCGCCGCUCAGGAAAGUUCAGUUGGAGCACUCUUGGUGUAAGAGAAUGAAUCCCAGAAAGAAUGAGCGCUCUAUUACCUCUGCCGAACUCUCACCGGCGCCGAGUUGAACUACUCCCCAAUAGAAAAGAUGUGCCUUGCCUUGGUGUUCGCCAUCCAGAAACUCAGGCAUUACAUGCAUGCUUACACCAUCCACUUGGUUACUAAAGCUGACCUAAUCAAAUACGUCAUGUCCAAACCAGUCUUGACGGGGUAACUCGCUAAAUGGGCAUUGCUUCUUAACCAGUAUGAGAUAAUCUACAUCCUAACUAAAGCUGUCAAGGGACAAGCACUAGCAGACUUUCUUGCUGAUCACCCAAUCCCAGCUGAUUGGAAAAUCUCAGACGACUUGCCUGACGAGGAAGUGUUCUACAUCGACAUCUUCCCGACAUGGACGAUGUUCUUCGACGGAUCUGCACGAGCAGACGGAGCAGGGGUAGGAAUAGUAUUCAUGUCGCCACAAAGGCAGAUAUUACCUUAUUCAUUUCAACUAAGCGAAUUAUACUCCAACAACGUCGCUGAGUACCAAGCACUGAUCAUCGAACUCCAAAUGGUGAUCAACAUGGGAAUCAUAGCCCUUGAGGUAUUUGGCGACUCCAAGCUCAUAAUCAAUCAACUCUUAACCGAAUAUGAGGUGAGGAAAGAUGAUCUUGUCCCAUACUUCCGGCUGGCAACUCAACUGCUACAAGAGUUUGAGAUUGUGACACUAGAACAUAUGCCAAGAAAAGAAAAUCAAAUGGCAGACGCUCUUGCCAACCUAGCCUCAAGCAUGACAUUAGGAGAAGACGAAGCUGCAGACGUGCCAGUCUGCCAAAGAUGGGUGACCCCCCUCGUCACCGAAAUGCUAUUGGAUGAUACAAAUGUCAUCUCAGUACUUCCAGUCGAUGUUAAAGAGUGGAGACAACCGCUGAUCAACUACUUAAAGCAUGGAAAACUUCUAGAUGAUCCUAGACACCGCUCCGAAAUACGUCAACGAGCACCUCGCUUCCUUUACUACAAAGAAACACUCUACCGGCGCUCUUUCGAAUGAGUACUUCUGAGAUGCCUAGGCGAGGAAGAAGCCAAUCAAGCCAUGGAAGAAGCACAUUCAAGCGUGUGUAGGGCGUAUCAGUCUGGACCAAAGCUGCAUUUCCAGCUCAAAAGGAUGGGUUAUUACUGGCCAAGCAUGGUGAAGGACUACCUGGAACAUGCCAAAAGGUGCAAAGCCUACCAAUUCCAUGCCAACUUCAUACACCAACCACCUGAGCCAUUACACCCUACAGUUGCUUCAUGGCCAUUCGAUGCAUGAGGAUUGGAUGUCGUAAGACCAAUUACCCUAAAGUCAUAUGCAGGAGAAGCUUACAUUCUAGCUGCAACAUAUUACUUCUCCAAGUGGGCUGAAGCCAUACCCCUAAGGGAAGUAAAGAAGGAAACCGUCAUCCAUUUCAUCAAGGAGCACAUCAUCCACUAAUUUGGGGUACCUUGCUACAUCAUCACUAAUAACGGAAAACAAUUCUCCAACCGACUCGUGGAUGAGCUCUGUGAGAAAUACAAGUUCAAGCAACACAAGUCUUCCAUGUAUCAUGCUCCGGCCAACGGUCUUGCAGAAUCAUUCAACAAAACAUUGUGCAAUCUUCUGAAGAAGGUGAUCGGUCGAAUAAAGAGAGACUGGCAUGAAAGAAUAAGCGAAGCACUUUGGGCAUAUCGAACGCCACAUAGGACUCCUACCCAAGCUACGCCUUAUUCUCUUGUAUAUGGCGUGGAAGCUGUUCUACCGCUCGAAAUCCAAAUCCCCUCACUAAGAAUGGCUAUACAAGAAGGCUUGACUGAUGAAGAGAAUGCAAAGUUGCGCCUUCAAAAGUUGGAAGCACUCGAUGAAAGAAGGCUCGAAGCUCAGCAACAUUUGGAAUGCUACCAAGCAUGGCUAUCCAAGGCAUUCAACAAGAAGGUCCGCCCAAGGUCUUUCCAAACUGGAGAUCUCGUCCUCACAUUGCGUAGGCUUAUCAUCACAACUCACAAGACAAAAAGCAAGUUCACAUCAAAGUGGGAUGGACCAUACAUAAUACAAGAGAUCUACACCAACGGCGCCUACUUAAUCACGGCAGAAGACGACUUGAAUAUUGGCCUUAUCAAUGGAAGAUUCUUGAAGCGCUACUACCCCUAAAAGGCGAUAACCAACGCUCUUGGUUCGCACGAGCCUAAACUGCACAAACCAAAGCUCCUGGCCCGCAAAAGCAUAAUCUGUAUACGGCAAAAUCAUCAUCAAAAUCAUUGUUAAAUUCAUCGCUCAUUUGAACUACGUUAUGACUUGAUCCCUCCUCAACUGAGGGUACGUAGGCAACUUGAAACUUCAAAACUUCAAGUACAGUCACACCAUCAAAACUUCAAAAAUAUAAAUACUUUAUUUCUUUAAAAGAAGAAGUCGGCUCCAAAGCCUUAUUACAAGAAAAAUAGAAGAUACUACUUGAAAACUAUGUCCCUAAAACUACGAAGGCGAUCUUCAAGCAAGCCUUCCAAAGUCUUCAAAGUCUCUACCUCGGUGGGAGACAAGAUGGGCAACUCCAUAGUCAUGCCUUUCUCUCGUUUUAGGCGUGAAAUCUCCUCCUGGUACUGAGAAGGUGUAGUUCCCUGCUCCGAGAGAACACUUUCAAGUUGCGAUGCUUCGAUUACCAACUGCUCUCGCUCUUGCACCAACGCAUCUAGACACACUUGGACAGAAGUUAAAGAAGUAUCUGUGAAUUGAUAAUCUCCCGAAGCAGCUUGCUGAGAAGACCGGACUUGAGCCAGUGACAAGUUUAUUGUUGCUAGCUGAUGAGCUAUAACAUUUGGACUCAACUUAUCCAAGGAAAUAGCACGCAAGGAAGAAUACUCAGUCGAGGCGGCCAUAAGGUCGGCAAUCUUGAUCUUCAACGAUGAAGAAGCAACGUUAAGGUUGUUAAUCACAGAAACAAGCUUCGGAAAAUCCUCUUUGAGCAACAUAUGGUCUUCCAACGGGCACUUAGAAAUCCUCUUCUCUAUAUGGCUCUUGAUAUCCAUUGUCGCACCAAGACUAAUGCGAUGGAUGACUUGCUCAGUACCGCUAAGGUUCGGCCCUCUCAAAGAAAUCUCAGAGCUAGCUGGCAAAGGUGUUGGACGCAUGACGGGUCGCCGAUCCUCGAUCUCCCUGUCUGUAGGUAGGUAUCCUACAAAUAGCAUCUCCAUAUAGGAAUAAACAUCUGCAGUUGCCAAAUCAAAAGGACGAGAAGGCCCAGCCUAAAGAAGGCAAAGAAAGAUGUUAGAAACAAAAGCCAAAAUGAUGAAAGCAGAAGAAAUCACGAAAAAAAAAAAUUGAAGUACAUACAUCUCUCUCAAAUGACACACGGUCAUCAAAUCGAUGAGGUCUAAACACUUCCUUCUUCUUAUGAUGAAAAUUGACAUCGCUGUCAACAUGAGCAUCCUCAAGUGGUCGCUUGUUUGAAACUUGUUCACGCUGCUGCAAAAUAAAUCCAUCUUCGUGUGAAUCAACUUCAUCUCCCACCUCUCUAGAAGCAUUCGGAUGUCGAGGAGACAAGCAAGGGCGUUGAUGAGCUAAAGCUACAGGUCUAUCUUGUAAGGGAGCCGUACUCGCGCAAUCAAGAGGUACCAGUUGCAUAGGAACCACAAGACAACCCUCUCUCGACAUAUCAUCACCUAAGUGAGAAUAAUUGGUAUCACUUGCCAUCCCCAAGCUCUUAUAAUGUACCUUUGACCACCAACAUGCGUAAACACGGGUCAUUGGAUUACUUUUGAACUCAUCAUUGGCUGGCAGCGUGAUAACAACAUUUGUGCAUGCACGGGUACAAGACUAUCAAUGCAUGUACACGGCUUGCAAGGAUGCCAAUUGGUUCUUUGCCUUCAGCUUGCCUGGCACAUUUUGGACAAAGCCAAAUUGCUUGCUGAAACGGUGGGGAUUAUAUGGCUGAACAAUGCAUCGGUCUUCUUGCCGUAAAGAAACAAACCCCGAGCGAAGACUUAUAAGAUAAGACAAGUCUGAGAAGCGGAGACGCGAAUUGUCUACGAUGCCUCGCCGCACCGGGCCAUCCUUAAAUCUUUAAAUCUUCACAACGUUUAAAUAGCGCUCGCGCUUGCAAAUCAUCAAGGCUCUUCGCGGAGAGCACGCUAGAAUACUUCGUCAUCAAAGGCCUCAGUUUGGCUCUAAUCGAUGAAAAAGACAUUGACUUGUCUAAAGUCAACAAAGAAAAAUGAGUGCCAAAAUAUUCACCCAACCAACCAUACACAUAGUGGUAAGGGAGCACUGCAGCAUGAUCUUCAGUGCUUGCCGAGUUCGAAACAAUGCUCAAGCCAUUAUAAAUGUUGGUUAAGACCGGAAUAGCAAGGCUAAAAGACUCCCCUGCAGCCAUCUUGCUAGCAACCUUGAAAACUCCAGGACAAACUAAGUUGACGUCGCCUGUUAGGAAAACAAACUUACAAAGCCAACAAGCUAAGAAAGCAGCUAGGUAAGACUCUUCCACAUGCUCUGAUGUUAUGCCAAGAUCCUCAAACGCUCUCAACUUGUCAGAAGAACGGCGCAUGGUUGAGCCAAUAACACCGGACGGGUCUGAGUCUCCCUUUGGCCUAGUGGUUUUAUUAUGGCCAUUUUUCUUCAAAGGCUUCUUAUACCUCAUGGCCUCCCAGUACCAAAAUCGGAUCCAUGAGGAAUUCCUCACGCCUGAUUUACCUUGAGCAUCCUGGAAAAGCUUGUGAUACGCCCAAAACAAACAGCGGCAACUCGCAGGCAAUCCUCGGUUAUAGCAAAGAGAAAGUUCAUUCACGCUGAGAACGACCUCGUCGUAAAACUUGCCUUGGAUCGGCAAGCCUCUUAUCCUGUGAAGAUCCCAAAGUGAAAUUGACAUCUCCCCUUGCGCCGUGUGAAGUGUGUUGGUCGUCGAACACCAAUGCUCAAAGAACGCACGAAGGACGGAAGGAUGGCGAUCAUAACUAAACAAAGAUGCGUACACAGCGUGGUAAAGGCCCACGUUAGUAAGCACAUCUUUAGAUCGGCUUAAGACAUCUUCAAGCCACACCCAAUAAAACUCAUCAGACGGCCUCUCCAGUGGUCGACAGGGUACCAUUCCAAGCCAUAGCUCCACUGCGGAUAUGAUCACCAAGAAGCUUAAACGAGGCCGAAUGAUUGUCAUGAUUAUGGUGCGAAUGAUUCAAGAUAAGAACCCUCGAUAUGCACACCUUCUUCUUCAUAUUUGGUCGAACAGAGUCUACCACCUCCCAAGAUACUUCAGAAGACCACGACUUAAUAUGCAUGGAGUUGUCUUUCGCGAGAAGAGCAAGCGCCUUAUAACCAGUCAGUGGCGUGUAAAGCUUCAACGUUGUCCCCUCAUCUUGCGAAUCGCCGUCCUUCGCAAGAAUGGUGAUGGUGUUGCUCUUAAAACACUUAAAAAAUACCAUGACUGCAAAAAAAAAAAAUCAGCCACAAAACUUGAGCACCACGGCAAAUAGGGCAGCUACAGAGCGUUCCUUUAAAGCACGCUACACUGGCGAAGAAAACCAAAAUGCUAUGCAAUCACACUACGUAACCCCGCUGCAGGCUCUUGCACAACACCACACGGCAGCGCACUACCAAGGGAAAACUGUGAUCAAAAGGCACUACACAGCAAAACCCCGUUACAGUCUCUGGCACAAGCACUAGGCAACCUGCUCACUCCGCCACCAACAACCAUGUCUCUAAAAGCUUCGUGAGAGUCUCGGCAUCAUGCUCUGCCUUCAUAAAAAAUAGACACAUCGUAUUUUAUAUAUAUAAGACAUACAUACCCACGGCAAGUGGCAAGGUCAAUGUGCAUGGCAACGUCACCACCAAGGAAAGUUGUGACCAAAAUGCACCACAUAGCAAAAUCCAGCCGCAGUCUUUUGCACAGCAACACGUGGUCUGCUCCAAGCUCCAAGCUCCAAGCUCCAAGCUCCAAAGUUCACCAGUUCGACAAGCAGCAAAGCAGAGAAGAACGUUCACAGCAGAAGGAGGUUAUGUCUAUGGUCAUUUUAUAAGCUCAACUUGUCCGUCCAAGUGAAGAAAAGAAAAGAAAAGAAAAGAUAUAUAUAUAUAUAUAUAUAUAUAUAUAUAUAUAUAUAUAUAUAUAUAUAUAUAAAAAUAAUAUAAUAAAAAAAUUUGGGUGCUUCAUGCACCAUGUAAAGAAAAUAUAAAAUAUAUGUAUAUAUUAUUAAAAAAUGUAGGUGCUUCCAGCACCAUGCAAGAAAAAUAAUUUAAAAAAAAAGGAAAAGCAAAAGAAGGUGGCCGGCCAUCAUUUAAAAAAAUUGUAAGGGCUUUGGGUGCUUCACGCACCAAGUUUUGGAAUUCUGGAGGUGCAUGUGCACCAUGCAAAAAAAAAAUUAAAAAAUUAAAAAAUUAAAAAAUUAAAAAAAAAAAAGAAGAAAAGAGAAUGAUAGUCAUCUUUUGUUAAGGGAUGGUGGUGUCCAGAAAGCAAAAGGGACAAACAUUCAAAUUGGGAAAAAGAAGGAAAAUAUUGAUGGUGCCAGUCUCACCGACAGUGAAAAAUACAUAUAUAUAUAUAUACACACACACACAGAAUGAAAUAAGGCUCAUUUAUUGAUUUCUCUGAAAAUUUACAUAAAUGUACAUUUUACAUAUGAAAAAAAAAAUUAAAAAAAAAUUAAAAAAAAUUAAAAAAUUAAAAAAUUAAAAAAUUAAAAAAUUAAAAAUUAAAAAUUAAAAAUAAAUACAGGAGGGAGCUUUCACGAAGGUUGCUCGUGUGAAGCCUCAUCACUCUGCGAAACUCCAGGAAAACUUUGGAGGUUGACUGUUUAGAGCCUCAACAUUCAGUAAAACUUUGGAGGACGAAGGCAAUAGAUGCCUUUGAAGUAAAGCCACAAACGUCCGAUGGUCACUCUGAAUCUGAUCUUCAGAUUCCUGCAGCUGGUCGAGCUUUCUUUUCAUGUUCGUUGAGUAACUAUUGGCAAGCAUGUGCAACUCUUUGUUUUCAUGCUUAAGCCUUCUAAUCUCUUGCUUAAGACUCGCCGCCUCAGCCAUCAGUGACUCGACUUGACGAGUUCGAGCAAGAAGGCGUUGGCCCAUAUUUGAUACAGAGCCCGCACACUGAACACUAAAAGCCAGAGAGUCCUGAACAGCCAAUCAUUAGACCGCUUGGAAAAGAUCCUAUUGUCCUUAGGGGUGAGAAGAUUCCUAGCUACCACCGUCGCGGUUAUGUCAUUCUUCAUCAUAGAGUCCCCAACUGUAAGAGGACCGGUGGCGGAUAAGAAGGACGGGCGCCAUACGUUGUCUGGAGAAGACAUAUCAACAUCUUCCCCAACAUUCAAAUCAAGACGACGAUCAGAUGGGCAAGCCAUUUGCAAAAAUGAUGAAAGAAGAAUAGGUCGUGUAAGUCGAAUUCUUAGAAAUGCAAAAUAAGGGAAAUUCCUAACAGGUAGCGACUCUCUAAGUGUGUUUUUGAACACGAUUCAUGCCUCUAUAAAAAGAAGAGGCAACAGGGCCUGUUCAAAAAUCGAAGAGGCAAUGUGGUCGUUCAGAAACCAAAGAGGCCCCUCUCCCCGAAUUUCAAAAAACUGAGCCAUUUGUUCAUAAAUCGAAGAGGCAACAAGGCCACCAGUUCAAAGAUCGAAGAGGCACCACUCUCUGAAUUUCAAAAAAGACCGGCUUUUCAGGAUUUGUCACCAUCCUUCACACGCAACCUCAACUUUGCGGAAAUCACGCACAACUUUGUAAAAGAUUUCUGACAAAGCUGAAAACGCGUGAAUCUUACUAUUUCAAUUACCCAACGGUUGCCGACAAGAGUAAAGGAAUAGUGCCACUACUGGCUAUUGGGAAAUUCCUAUAUAUGUCGACCUUCACCCUCCAUAGCAAGGCAGACCUGCAAAAAUGUCCAACCCUUCCUCAUUUCCGAGAGUACACUCCCAGCAAAGCCUAUUGAAAUACCCAGUUUUCUUCCUCUCCUGGAAUACCUCUGUAAACAAAUGACACCAAAGUAAAAGUAUCCCAUAUCAUCAGGGUAAAAAGCAAGAGUAUCUCAUAUCAUGCAAUCUCCCUAUCCUUUUCUUUGUCCUUGUUCUUACCUGCAAAGACAAGGAUAAAGAAAGCAAUAUGUCGGAACCUCCACUCAAACUCCGGGUAAGGAAUCGACUACCUGGAACCUUUGCCUGGUUGCUUACCUGGCAUUGCUCUAAAGUACUCGUCUUAAACUGCUGAUGUACUUCCGAAGAAGAUGCCACAUUUGCCUAGAGAACAGAUAAGGCAAGUGAAAAUGAUACCUUGAAGCAUGUGGAGACAACGUGUUGAUUUCCUUCAAGAUCAAGUCUCCCCUUCCCUGCACAAUCAAGCAACCCAGCAGAAGAAGUCUGAGUUGAAUCCAAGAGCUCGAGCUGCUUCAACAACAUAUUGACGGCAUCAUCAUCGAAGAGCAAAGCCUCGCUGUGCAACGCUGUCAAAAUUGCCACCAUUUAUUCGAAAGCAAGAGUAUUUCAUAUCAUGCUUUCUCUAUGUCCUUGUCUUUGUCCUUGUUUUUACCUGCAAGACAAGAAGAAGGAGAGCCAUCAGUCAGAACUUGAAAGUCAAACUCCCAGUCAGGAACCGAUUGCUUGGAACUUUUCCCUGAUUGCUUACGUAGCACUACUCUCGAAGUAUCCAUUAUCUCAACAUCUUAUACUUCCAGAUAAGAUACCACAUCUGCCCGAAGAACAGAUAAGGCAAGGGAAAAUGAUACAUUGAAGCAUGUGGAGACAAGCACAACAAAGCACAACAAAGCACGUGCCAAUUCAUCUGCUACUUCUUCAAAAUCAAAAGUAUCUCAUAUCAUCAGGGUUUCAAUCACUCUGGGUAGUGGACUCGUUUUGACCCUCAAAUUCUUGGGUCGACUUGCUAGGCGUUGUGGGCUGCACGUGCCGAUUCACCACCCUUGAAUCAAAUCCUUAAAGAUCAAGUCACCAACUGGAAGAAGAGCCCAUCAAUCUUGAAGAUCAUACCGUUGACCAAACUCCUCAAGUGUGAAUUAGAAAGAUUGAACAAAGCAACAAGUCAUCACCUUCACCUCGUGCCUGCUUGCCAUGUGUUCGAGUCAACCUUCAAGAAUCAAGCCUCAACGGCCCUUGAAGAAGCUUCCAGCCAAAUUCAAGAUCAAGCCUCGACGACCCUUGAGGAAAUCACAAGUCCGAUUCAAGAUCAAGUGUCUACCACCCUUGAAUCAAAUCCAGUUCAAUAAUAAGCUGUGGAAAGUCAACAAUUGGAGGAAACCAGAAAAUCCUCCAACCUAGUUCAAGAAUAAGCUUGUGGAAAGUCAACAAUUGGAGGAAUCCAGAAAAUCCUCCAACCCAGUUCAAGAUCAAAGCUGUGGAAAGUCAACAAGCGCAACAAAAUACGUGUCAAUUCAUCCACUACCAAAGCCAAGGAUCAUAUACCACAUGAAGCUCCUUGUGGUCUAAUUUCAACCUUCAAUAUCAAGCCUCGACGACCCUUGAAGAAAUUUCAAACAAAGUUCAAGAACAAGCCUCAACGGCCAUUGAAGAAAUCUCUAACCUAAUUGAAGAUCAACCAUCAAUGGCCCUUGGAUCGACAUCUACAUUAAGGGACUUCAAAACGCAUCUUCUACACAUAAUAAACACGUGUAUACAGCGUGCCUUGAAGUGGGGGCAUUUGUAGACAUCGAAAUUUUGGUGAAAUAAAUGUUGAUCAAUAAUUAAAAUUUCAACGUUCACGUGUCACAUAAAUUUUACACAUAGCAGGUGACUCAACGAAAAAUCGAGAAUCAUCAAAAAAGUCAUCAAACAGGACACGUGUCAACACCUGGCAGAAACGAUUUAUUUCAUCUGAAUAAUACAUUCAAAAUUAGGCUUUGGAAAAUUCUAUAAAUAGAAGCCAUUUCAUUCAUUUUGGGGACCCCAAUUCAUAACCAAUUCACCUCACACCAAAACCUUGAAGCUUUGAAACUCCAAAGCCCCAAGCAAAUCCCGAAAGAUCAAGAAAGCUCUCUUCGUUCUUCGUCAACCCAACCUUCAAGAUCAAGCCCCAACGGCCCUUUGAAGGAACUUCCACCAAUUCAAGAUCAAGCCCCGACGGCCCUUGAAGAAAGCGUUCAUCGUUCAUCAUCCGUUCAUCCUAAGAUCAAGCCCCAAAGACCCUUUGGAUCAACAACAUCAACAAAUCCACAUAUCCAACCGUUCUUCAAGAUAAAGCCCAAAAGCCCUUGAAGAUCCAUUCAUCAACUGUUCAUCAAGAUCAAGCCCUAAAGGCCUUUGAAGAUCCGUUCAUCAACAAUUCUUCAAGAUCAAGCCCAAAAGCCUUGAAGAUCCGUUCAUCCAUCAACUUUCAAGAUCAAGCCCAAAGGCCCUUGAAGAAACUUCCCUGAACCUUCAAGAUUAAGCCCCAACGACCCUUGAAGAAAACUUUCAACCGUUCAUCCAAGAUCAAGCCUCGACAACCCUUGGAUCAAUCGCACAUCCACAAAUCAACACCUUACGGAGAUCGAAUCAGAUGAUCAAAUUUGAGAGAGAUUGUAACCCCUAAAUCAUUAAUACAAAUAUUAUUUUGUACAUGUGUUCUUGUCUAGUUCGUUUCAGGAAUUUCCGUAUUUACAGAUUCAACUUUAAAUUAUAAACAGUCUCAAGAGGUGUCCUCUAAGGAGGACGAAAAGAAGACUGAAUAGCAUUAGCAAUAGCUUCUCCUAAUUGAGCAAUAUCGGGGAAACUAGGCUCAACAGCGGGACGUGGAUCUCUACGAGGCGCCAUAGUUCUGACAGAAGACAUCAAAAUAAUUAGAAAAUUCACAAGAUAUGCAAGACUGCAAACCUAAGCUCUGAUGAUGGUGCUCGUCCUCUAGAUAGGUCUCACCUAUAUGCGAAAUAACUAAAUAAACGUUAAUUAAAGCAUACAACCACAAUUAGCUAAUAACUUCUCAUACAAUGCUCAAAUGGGGUGUUUGAAUAUACCAACGUGAUCUACUCAACACCACGAGCAUCCCCAUAUUUUUAGAAAAAUUUUCCGAGCAUCUACGCACCGGCCAAGGCACAGCCAGAUGCACGGCCCACGUUCAGGCACGUGCCUGACACACCAAACGGAUUCCCUAAUGGAGUUAGGGAAUAUUCCAUUAAAAACCAGCAUAUACCGUUAAAAUUACCUAACGACAUUAGCAUAUUCCGUCAAAUUUGAUAGAAUAUUCUCCUCCUUCCUCCUUGGUUUGCUGAAGUCCAGCACCGGUGCGGCUGCUAUCGCAGGAAACUUGAAAAAUCUUUAAAACUUCAUAUUUUAUUCGAUUCUCAACCAAAAUUCAUGAAAUUUGUCUCAAAAUGAAGCUUAGAGUGAGUAGAACACAUUCUUACCACUUUCAAGCCUUGAAAUCCAUGGAAACUCGCUAGAGAAACCUCGAUAAUCUGGCCAAAAUUUGAAACUCGUCAAACUAAGCUUCCCGAGGUCCAAAACACUCCAACUUUCUUCCCCGAUCGUCGUGAAGACGUCCUAAAACUCCCUAGAACCUUAAAACUCGAAGAAAAGUCCAUAAUCAUGACUGCAUGAACAAUGCUCAAAAUCGGGAUUCUUGGGUUCUCGGGUUUUCGAAGGAUUCAUGUUCUAAAAAUGGUACGGAUGUGUUCCUGAGCUCACAAGGAACACAAAGAUGGCUUCCAAAACCUCGAUCCAUGAUUAGUGAGCUAGGUUCGAGUUUGUCCGUACUGUUGUACGGAAAUGGAAGAAAAUCCGAGAGGGAGGAGAUAGAGAGUCAACGAGAUUGGUUGGUGUGUGUGUGUGUGUGGUCCAACUUUGGGCUACUAACAACAACAAACCAUUAACUUUAAGUUCCAAAAACUUAGGAACUUAACAUAUUGGUCCACCUCUAAAAGUACGUUACACGCAACACAUCUCAAUGUUCAAGAGCAAAAUAGACAUUUCACAUUGUUGAUAAAAAUAAUCUGAGACAGGCUGUGACAAAUAAUGUUUAAAAGUGGUCCAAUGUUGGUUGUGUACAAAUCAUGUGGUGGUUGGUUGGGGAAAAUAUUUAUAUUUCGACAAGUAAACCAUUUUUAAGGAAUUAUGUAAUCAUAAAUUUUUAAUUUAAAUGGAUGUGCGGGGCUGUUUUUUUUCUUUCUUUUUCGAUAGACAUGAGGCGUGUGGGGAUUCUGCUUCGCUAUUUAAAAUACGGUGUACUUGUAGUUCAUUUCAUUUAUUGGUGAAAUAUUUAGGUUUAAAUCUGGUUAACGAAUAAGCCAAAUUAAAUUAUUAUAGUUGAUCUAUUGUGUGAUUUGAACCUAUAUCAUCAUUUUUAGUGUAAAUUAUAGCGUUAUAAUUUUUUUUUUUAAAGUCAUGCUGUUUUAUAAUAGUUUGAAUAUCUGGAAUAAAUCGUUUACCUUUACCUUCAUCUUUAUGUACGUGGAAUUUUACGAGUUAUCUAUUACAAUCCUGGAAACCAAACGAGCUUAAGAAACAAAGAAUCGGAAUAUUUAAACUUAGGACCUUGAAUACAAAAGUGUAUAUUCUUAAUCACUUGAGCUACAAUUUCUUUGUUAGACUUUUGUAGUUUAGAAUGCAUAAUCUAAUAAAAGCUUUAUUUACAGAAGAAAAGAAAGAAAAUGAGGAGACAUGUUUGAUUUGUACUAAAUAAUAGGGGUGUGAUAUCUACACAUCACGUUUUAACUUCUCACACACCCUCUUAAUUUCUAACCGUUAGAUCGAAUGAAUUAAAAAAAAAAUCAAAAGACAAAAAUAAUAAUGCUUAAAGGUGGUCCAAUGUUAGUUGUGUAAAAAUCAUGUGGUGGUUGGUUGGGGAAAAUAUUUAUAUUUUCAAUUUAAAUGAACCUGUGGAGCUUUUUUUUUUUUUUUUUUUUUUCUUUGAUAUUUUGAUACAGACAUGAGACGUAUGGGGCUUGUCAAAAGAGUCAUUCUUCUUUGUUAUUAAUUCAGUCUAGUUGUAUUAUGUUUUAUUAAUAAAAUAUAUAGGUUUAAAUCUUGUUGACUAAUAGGGCCGAACCAAAUAAUUAUAUUUAAUUUAUUGUGUGAUAUUUUCAUCAUCUUUAGUGUAAAUCCUAUGGUUAUAAUUUUUUUUUAAGUCAUGCGGCUUUAUAACAGUUGAAUACAAUAUUGCAAUAAGUGCGAAUAGUGUCAAGAGACUAAUGUGAAACUUUUGUUGAAUUGAAGGACAUAAAUUGACCGAAUUUUUGUUCUAGGACAUAUUCUAAAGUCGGGAGCAAGUUCAGGGAUGAAUUCUCAUUUUCACCUUUUUAAAUCUUUCUUUGCUUAUAAAAACAGAUGAAUACUUGUAUUAUGUGGAAAGAUUUACAAUAUAUGAAGCUAUCGAUUGAAAUGUAAAUGUAAAUAUUGUUGAUGUGAUAUUCAAGUUGUUAGGAUUUAAUGUGAGUCAUUGAAUCAUAGUCUUUUUGGUAUCUUAGAUUAGAUUUCAUUAAGUCAUAACUCAUGACAAGUGUAAUCAUCUCAUAAGGUGACUUAAGAUUGAAUGGUUAGGAUGAUUUUGUAUGGUGUGAUAGAGUGAGAGAGUGUGGUGCUCCUCCUCUAACGAUAAUAUAUUAUUUGCAUGCAUAUUAAAUUAUUAGUCUCUGUGAUGAUAUGGUAGUUGGAAGAAAGUUCAUGUAGUAAAAGAACAAAAAACCAAAUCCCCUCCUUCUUUCCUGCAACCCGCACCUCCACCAGCGUUUUUUUAUCAGGAAAACUAAUGAAAAGGGCUUGAAAACUUUGAGUUUUAAUGAUAAGGACAAAAUAAAGGGUAAAGUGAAUAGUACCAGGAUUGACUUUUUAGUGUAAAAAUAUGGUUUUUCGUUAAAGUGAACAGUACCGGGAGCUUUUCGUUAAAGUUUCCUUUUUUAUCUUCCCCCAAUCAACUUUUUAACCACUCAAAGCUGUCCUAAAAUCCCUUUUCUUCUUCUCUCUCCUCAAAACCUUCUUCUUCCCUUCUUCCUCCCCCAAUCAAAUUUUAAACCCCUCAAAGCUAUCCUAAAAUCCCCUUGUCUUCUUCUCUCUGCUCAAAACCCAAAAAGCCUGCGUGCGCUUCCAACAUCCAGGUUGCAGACAGGUUCGCGGCGAUCUGCAGGCUGCUGGAGCAGUAGAUUUUGCAUUCGGCUUCCUCCGCUAACAAGUCUUAGAUUUGGCAACAGCUCUAGCACUACUCUCAGUUCCCCGAUUUCAAUAACUACCUUGCUUUCAAUCUCGCACGUGCCGAGGUAUGCUCCCCCUCCCUCCACUUCCCCCCAAUUGUGUAUUCAUUUUCAAUUUGAGUCAGUAGGGUUUGUGUUUUUGCUUUUCAAUUUUUAUUUUUUUAAGAGAGAGAGAGGGAUGGGGAAGAAAUUACAGGGGGAAGAAGAAAGGUGGGGGAAGGUUGGGGGAGACUGGUGGUGAAGGAAGGCUGGGGGAGGGUGUGGGUUGCAGGGAAGAAGGAAGGGAGGGUUGGGGGAGGAAGAAAGGAAGAAGAAGAAGUAGAGAGAGGAAAAAAAAAAAAAGAAAAAAAGCUGGAGGGUGCGGGUUGCAGGAAGAAGAAGGGGAUUUCAGGGUUUUUUUUUUAUUAUAAUUUUUUUUAAUAUAUAUUUUUUUAAUGAUAUGUGGCAUCUAGUCAUUGUCCACGUGGAACAACAUGAUCAGUUAACAGAAAACUUAACAGUUUGACUAACGGAUGAAUGAGACUGUCCCAAAAUUUACACUUUAGAUAUAACUCUAAAACGAAAAAAACUUGAUGUACCAAAUGUUGAAAACCACAAAACAUAAAGGUAGUAAAGGGAGUUACCCUAAAAAAAAUUAGAAUUUAAGUUCUUGUGGGGAAGUUUGUUAGUAUUUAUGCCAAAAAAUGAAACUUCCGUCAACUCUCCUUUAAUUAUUAACACGUGAGCUAUACAUAUUAGGCUAAAACAAAAUUCUCCAUCAAUUGUUAGCAUGUGGGGCUUAAAUAUGAGGCUAACUUUAUUUUUUAGUCUCAAAUGUGAGUUUCAUAUGCUAACAAUUAACGAAGAGUAGACGAAAUUUUUAAUUUUGAAUCUAAAUCUAAAUAGAUUUCACCACACGGACUUAAAUCCUCUUUUUUUUGUUGUUAUGAUUUAAUGUGAGUCAUUGGAUCAUAGUUCAUGUGGUCUCUUAGAUUAGAUUUCAUUAAGUCAUAACUCAUAACAAGUGUAAUCAUCUCAAAAGGUGACUUAAGAUUGAAUGGCUCUGAUGAUUUUGUAUGAUGUGAUAGAGCGACAAGUGUGAUGCCCCUCCUCUAACGGUAACAUAUUCUUUGCACGCAUUUGGUGUGAGGAUGAUAAUCCAAUGAGAAUUUCAGCUGUGAUACUUCUUUGCAAUUGUUGCAUCACUGCAAUUCCUCAGAAAUCAUUCCAUUGAAAUCGUACACUCAGAAUCAAUAUACUAACAAAUCUAUUACAAUGGAUUUCCGAAUUACUCGUUUCCCCAUGUUACGCCAACGCAUCUGUAGAACGGUAAGAACUUGGCCGGUGUUAAAGGUAGGCAUUGGUAGCGGUUGGUCAGCCCAAUCUGGUGAUAGUUCCACGAGAUGGCUGAAACUUACAUGAAACCUGUGUAUACCCCCAUCUGUAUCAUCACGAGAGGACGGAGAUAGAUGAGGAUAUAUUUUGUCUCUCCCGCAAGAGUCUGCUACACACUCAAGAAGCACCACGGUGUCAUGUUUUUGAUCCUAAUGAAGACCGCGCGGGUUCGGCGAACAUGCUCCCCGAGGCAUAACCAAAGAAUAAAAAUCAAAACAAUGGCCUGAGCAUGCUACUACUUAGGGGUGGAUUUUUUUGCCUAAUUGCCGUGCCAACCGAAUUACCAACCGUGCCAUACCGAUUUUGUGCCAAAUUUUUUUGUGCCAAUCGGUAAUGGUACGGUAUUCUACCGUACCGAAAUUUCUUGGUACGGUAUUGGUAAUGGAUAUCAUUACCACGGUAUUACCUUACCGUACCGAACAUAUAAUAUAAUAUAUCAUUUAUAAAUUAUAUAAUAUAUAAUUAUAUAACACAUAUUUAUAAUAUUCUAAUAAUUUGAUAUGAUGAAAGAGGCUCAACCUCGGUUCAAGAUUCCAAAUAGGAAGAAGAUUGCGGCCAAUGUGUGGGAUUUAUAUGUGUUGGAGAAGUCUAAAUUAUUUGAAGCAAUGCAUAAUCAAAAGGUAAGUAUCACAACCGAUACUUGGACAUCAGUACAAAACAUUAACUACAUGGUAGUUACCGCUCACUUCAUGGAUAAUGAAUGAAAGUUGCACAAACGGAUCAUAAACUUCAUAAAGAUCACGGGUCAUAAGGGAGAAGACAUUGGGAAAGUUCUAGAGGUGUGUUUGAACCAAUGGAGGAUAGAGAAGAUCUUUAGCAUGGGGGAAACUUCUAUUUGUUUUGGUUCAUAACUUCUAUUUGGAUUGUAAGCUUAAUUUUCAUCAUGAAUCUUGAUACAUCAUUUGAAUUAUUGUGUGUGUGAAUUGUAAAUGAUGAAUAAUAGAUGAAUUUAGGCUACAAUGUAUGAGAUACAGGUACAAUAAAAAAGUUUUGCCCUUGAAUUGGGUUAAAAAAGCAAGAACAAAUUUUGUCCCAAAACAAAGUGGCAAUUACCAUUGCCAUACAAUGCCAACCGAACAUUUGGCAAUACCGAACUUCGAUAUACCGAAAGUUUGGUAUGGUAAUGGUAAUAGAUUUUACCAAACCGAAAGUUUGGUAUGGUAAUUGGUACGAGGGUUUUGGUACGGUAACCGUACCGAACCCACCCCUACUACUACUUGUAUGCCCUUGUCCAAACAGGUACACAAUAUAUCAGGAUUCCCAAACCAAACGAGGUGCAUAUCGUAGCUGUGGCAUAUGCGUAUGCUCUCCAUGGGUAUUUGCUUUCUCUCAUCGCGUUGAACUCAGCGAUGAAGGUAGAAACAGUACUAAGGCAACCCAAAAAUCCAAAUUGUAUGCCUGUUGCAACAAUGUCGCAAGUCUUAGUAUUCACCUGCACAAACAAAUAGUUCUGCACGUCAGAUUUUCUAUUAAAAAGGAAAAAACCGUGGGCAUGGAUCAAGACAACGUAUGACAAAGGUAAUGCAGUUCGAAAAACAUUACAAUAGAGAAUAGUACGGUUCAAGAAUUCCCCAAGAAGCUUUUAAAACCUCGACGAGAAAAAAAAAAACCCAAAAUAACAAAUUUAGCAGUUUAUAAUAUGACGAAUAUAUGUGAACAGUAAGCUUGCCGGACACGAGACAAUAACACAUGAAAGGUAAUGGUGAGGAUGAAGUCAUGGAGUGGAUGCGGACAGAUAUCAUAUCAUAACAGCUUACUGCCUUCUUCACAGUAGACAGGGCUGCCAUUACACAAGCUGCAGAAACAUUGGCAAUUAAAGUACCAAAUGGAACCCAUUUCAACAACCCGGUCUUUCCUAAUCCACAUCCAUUAAGCCGGGCUAAGAACCACCGGAUCCACACACCAAAAGGUCCAACUAUGCAACCCAACCAUAGUUGCGCCUCGCUGCUGCUACUGUUAAAUUCCUCUCUCAACAGUACUCCACCUAUGCUCCACAGAGAACUUAGCAUCAGCAACAACACUACUAAAGCUACCAAGUGACGCUUGUAGCUGUCAACCCUCCACCUCCUUCUAGAGCUGGUAAUACCACAGACUGAGCUUCUCUCAAGAAUCUGCCUAAAACCCUUUGCUGUCUCUACCCCAAAAAUGAUGGAGUAGGCCGCAAGAAACAAACCUGACAUCCGUCACAUAAAAGAGGAUCUCAUAUUAGUCCAGUGAUUUGAGUAACAUUGAUUGAAAUGAAAUUUAAAUAUCCUGUUUGCCAAAGCGAUCCACAUGUCUACUGCAGCAAUUCUUUAGAAUAUGACAUCUUACCUAUCAAAAAGCCGAGCAGAGCAAAAACCCAAUGUCCUUCAACACUGAGUUCAAGCAUUUUCUGGUUCCAACCACUAAAAGUUGUAAGGCUUCCCAAGUAACCAGUUGUUAAUCCGAUGACCAAAUAAUCUGACACAUAGGAUAUAUCUCUUUGAAAACAACACCCAAACACCCCAUCAAGAAAGAGCCAACCUACAAAAAUGCAUUAGAAACAAAAAUUUGAGUUGGAACAUCAUCCAGCAUUUUCGGCAUCACAACCAUUGAGAACUAUGACAUGAAAAAAAAAAAAGAUGAUGGGAAAAAAGUAUGGAAAGAAAGGUGUUAAGAAACUUGAUAAUACUUCGGCGAUCAUCGUACUGUGUGCAUCACAAGUCCUUCCUAAUACUCAUAAGUAACAGCUUUACAGAAAACAUGUUUAUUAACACAACACUACCGAAUAAAGGGCAUAAUACAUUUGUGUGUGUGUGUGUAUGAUCGUGUGCAUGAGAGAGAGAGAGACCAUAUUAGAAGGAAGAUCAAGGUAGAGAAUGGUUUUGUCGCUUGUUACACCAACAACUCCAGGGCCAAACAAUUUUUGCAGAAGAUAUCUCGUUAAGACCUGCAUACUGUAGCAUGUCAAAUAAUCUAUUUAAUAUCUAGGUUUCCAGAUUUGAAGAAAGAUCUAAGAAGAUGUAUUACAGUGACAUAUUCAAUUUUUUCCAAGACAAACAGAAAUAUGAACAUGCCAGUGCAUCAUCAAACAUUUUUGUGAACAAAACUUAUGUAAUUUUAGGGGGUACAAUAGACCGGAUACAAUUUGUCUGCAUACCAAUUACACAGAUUUUCCACACAAGAAAAAAAAAUAGCACGAAAAAGUUCGCAAUACAAUUUGCCAAACAAAUGCAACAACAGCUAUAAACCCAACACAUUAGGACUAAAAAAAAUUUACAUCGGUAUUUAGUAAGAAACAGAGUUAACCGUGUUACCCCAAGAAUGCCAAAAAAUGCUAAAUGAGUCAUGCAUGAACCAUAUUCCAAUAAUUUUGGCAACCUUGUUGUAUUUUCCUGCAUAUGAAAACAAAAUAAUUUAAGUUACUAGCAUGAUUCGACAAAAAGAAAAGAAAAAACUCUUAACAUGUUAUGAUCAAUGAAAAAGAAAGCCAAAUGGACAAGGAUCUCUAACAAACAUAAUAUACAAUAUGAAUUUUAUCAACCGAAAGCUCACUGGCUUUUUGUCUUCGGAUAUGAUCGCAUCAGUGGAAAGAGGAGAUAUGAUUUCCUUUGGCAAGGGAGUGACAGGGGAAAUUGCAGGGUCACGACCCCAUAAUCCAUAGGUUUGCAGUUGAACAUACUCUGAAGGAAACAGGCAGACGCUGCCAAUCUCACUGUGCCUAUUGCUGUGAAGAGCCCGAUCGCCAAUAUCUCCUGCCUCUGACACACAUUCACUUUCAUUGUCAUCAUCUAUUUGAGAAGGCCGAACAUGUGAUAAACUUAAAGACCGCCUCCUUAAUGAAGAAGUGGCACCGCUUGUUCGAUCAUUGGAUACGCUUCGUCUGGGUUUAGUGUCAUUAGUCCCACGGUACCCUUCCUCCAUAACCACAGCGCUUGAUUUCUCUUGAAGUGACUUCACAAAUAAUAACAAUAAAAUCCGAAUGUUGAUUAUUUAGAGAGCUAAAAAUGAGAGGAACAAGUCCAGUAGAGAAAAUAAUGCAAUUAUUGUGCUACAAACGUUGAAAUGCUAUAGUUUGUACUUUGGAAGGAGCCCUAACCACUCCGUGUGUCAAAAUAAUCAAAAGAUUUGCAUACAAACAAACGGCGACAACUCUUUCAGCUUUAAUAAGAAUAAGUCAAGACCUUAAAAACCAAAAAAAAUAUAAAAAUAAAUAUGAAGUAUAAUGACAAAACUUCGUACAUAAGCUCUAGCAGCCAUGACACGAGCAAAAAGAAAGAGACAAAACUGAUUCGUCAAGAUUUCCACAAAAUUCAUACAUCCUAUAGCUCUAAACAAAUCCAUUCAGAUAAUAUUUAUUAUGCUACGUAUUAAGAUUAUAGAAUUAUGAAUGAUGUCACCGUUUCAUCUAUUCAUCUAAAGGGAGAAUGUACGCUUUAUUUUUCUACUUGUCAUCAAGUAAGAAGAUACAAUAAUGCAAUUAGACUUAGUUUUUCGUCAACAAAAGAGUACUGUUACACUGCAGAAUUAUGUUUAACCACAGAAGAAACAAAAAUAAUUGCUCAACUUUUUCAAUGACACCACACGAUUUAACAACACCAACAAAAAGCAAAUGCCAGGGCCUGCCAACUAAAUUAAUCAUAAAGUAAAUUUCAGUGUCAAACAAAUCACAGAAUGUUUCUCAAAAAACAAAAAACAGACGAAUCACAGAAUGUCCUUCAAACCAAUUUAAAUCUAGCAACCCAAUAGUUAUUUUGACAAAUAAUCAAUGAUUUCUCUUCAAACUUGUAAUACCAAACCUUGUGAAUUUCAGUUCAUAUACAGAAUGCAAUAUGCUUUUGUCGUCUUUGUAAAACAAAAUACAGAAGACAAAUCAUCAAAAAAUCCCAGUCCGAUCUAAUAUUGUCAUGUAUUUCAACUAUCCCAAGUAACAGUGCAUGAUGAAUUUGGGAUACUGACACAAUGACAUUUGGUUAUAGCUAAGUUCGAGAAGGGACUAUCUUUUUGCUUUAUGACUACUAGGUAGCAAAUUGAACAAGUUGGGACCUAAUAAAAAGUUGGUUCAUAACAUCAAAUUAGAAGCAGUAACAAAGUCAAUUUGUUUAAUAAGCACUCAAAUCUCAUUUCUCUAAGGACGUGUCCUCCACUAAAGAACCUAAAACAUAAAAAACCAGAAGAACAAAAAGAUUACAUUUUCAUUGGUUGUGAACUGUUAAAUUAUGCACAAACUAAUCAGAA